RNAcentral lists this long non-coding RNA (88203 nucleotides) under Manihot esculenta (cassava). RNAcentral describes it as "long non-coding RNA (MESC_LNC008272)". The record is from RNAcentral. Lineage: Eukaryota; Viridiplantae; Streptophyta; Magnoliopsida; Malpighiales; Euphorbiaceae.
CAUCAGCCAGGUGAUUAUUAUUGUCAGCUAAACUGUAAAACAUGAACCCAGACUACUAUAUAAACAUAGUAGUUUAGACUUAUAAUCCAGCCUUCGAUACUGGAAUUAGGUUUAUUUUUGCCAGAUUGUCAUCCAUUUAGUAGACCUCAUCUCCAAGCAGGAAGUUCAAGAUAUCGUCUCCCCAAACCUGCAUAAACCCAAAACUAGGCUUAGUAUACACCCUUGUAAUAUCCCUUUUCUUUUUAAUGCUUAUAAAUAAAAAAGAAAAUAAUAUAUAUAUAUAUAUAUAUAUAUAUAUAUAUAUAUAUAUAUAAACAUGCCUCAUUUCCUGAUAUUGGUGCUUCAUCAAGAUCCAUGCCAUUCAGCGUAUGCUCCAAAUUAUUGCAUUGUGGCUGCAAUCAUAUAACGAGAAACAGAUUUUUAAGCUAAGGAAAUUAGUUUCUCUUAUAGCUACUUUAGUUCAAAUAAAGGAGCAUUUUUAAACACAAGGUUGCUAAAAAAACACGAAGUUCAGAUUUUUUUUUUCUUUAUUUUUUGGGAGUUUGUAUUUUGUAGCAAAUAGUACAAGUAAACUUGCCUGCUCAAAGCUUGGAUAAUAGUCCUCCAAUGGAUUAACAUUGCCACCAAAGUCGGGAUUCACCGUUUCUUCCCUGCCUUGAAGCUGCAGAAAAUGGCAAUUAAGGACGAGCUUGACUAUAAAAUUCUCAAUUUUCUUUGAAUGCACCCGAUGAAAAACAAGUAGAAACAUCAAACAUGAGACGAAAAAUCGAUAUCAACCUUCAAAAAAAGAAAAGAAAUUGCAAACAUUUGCGCUAGAAAAAAUGUACAAAGUUUAAAAAUGUCUCCUAUAAGGUUAUUUAAUUAUAGGUUGGUGAUGAAGCAGGAAAGGGAGCAAGUAAUAGACAUGCCUGGGCAGAGGAUUUUUCACUCCAAGGAGUUUGAUCUGCAAUAGUACACAAGGUAGAAAAUUCCGAAUUUAGGAAUUCAUUGACAGGACCACCAACUUCAGCCUGAUAUGGGCUGCUAUGUAAGUUCACGUUCAUUGACACUUCCGAAUUUUGGUCCUACAUGUACAAAAGCCGACAAUUAGUGGACAAACAACUGACAGUGAUGAUCUACAUAUAUAGCUGAAGAAACAUUCUUAAAUUCUAUAAAAUGUGCAAACUACCUGGUAAGGAGUUGUAUAGGGGGACCCGAAAAGGAGCUCAUCAAGGUCAACUUCGCCAAGCUCUUGCUGAUGAUUAUCAGAAAUGGUACCCAAGGUAGAAGCAUUAGUCAUCAAGUCAUUUUCUCCACCAGCAUUCCUAAGACCAGUACUGGUAUGUUGCUGAGACUGUGGUGGAAGCAUUAAAGUAUUUUCUUGAUUAGUUGCAAUGAAAGUUGGUGAAUAUUGGUUUGUACUCCCAAGCACAGUUGAAGAAGAACAGGAACCUUGAGCACACAAACCCCCAAAGAUCCCAUUUCCUGUUGGUGGAUUAUUCAUACUGUUGUCAUGAGUCAUAUUCAUCAAAACUUUACCACCAUUAUUAGAGCCACUUGAUAAAUCAAUACCGUUGAAUCGCGUUUUUCCUGUUCCAAUGAGCUCGCCGUCACUAGUCAAUAUGAUUCCAGCAUAGUUACUAGUUGCCAUGCUGGAACAGCCGAUUCCGGUAGAUAAUAAUGUGAAUGGAGUGUCAAUAAUAUUGCUCUGAGGAUUCGCUUGAUUUUGUUGCUGUUGCAUUUGCAUUGGUGUUGCACCGAUGGUGAGGCCAUGUUGAGUAGCUGUAUCCGAGGACAGAUUAAUUCCAGUAUUGUUGGAUGUUGAGCGAUUUGCCAGACAUGGGUUGGCAAACACUAGUGGUCGCUGCUGGAAACUAGUAGGAUUGCCAAAUAAACUAGAUUGUCCAUAGUGGAGCUGAGGCACAGAGUUGCUAGUUGGAGCUUCCUGACUAGGAAAGCGCGAGAGGCCGGAGCUGGAGCUUCUGAAACCAGAGAGAUUGCCUCCAUAUCCUGGUUGGAAAGAUGGCUGCUGUCCAAGAAAAGGUGAAAAUUGCUUGUGGGGAUUUUGGUACAUGGAGGUAUAUCCAUUGGCGAAGGAUGACCUAAACGCCCUUUCAGCCAGACUGCGAGAUGUCCAGAAACCCUUCUCCGCAACCUUCUUCAGGAACAUCCGAUAUUUCUGUGAUUUUGACAUAUGUAUACGUGAGAACCAUCUUUCUCCCAACAGAAAAAGCAAAAAAAAAAAAGGUCCUUGAUUUAAAUAUUUUAUGUAGAUGGGGAGUUACUUAAGAACUAGAGCCCAAGGGGAGCCAUGGCCCCAAGUCUCAAACCCAAGAGCUACUCAUAAAAAUGUAUGAUGGCUUGUAACUUUUUUUAUAUAAAAAAAAUAUUACUUCAAAUUGUUUUAUUUUAAUAAAAAAAUAAUUUAUUGUUUUUUAUAUCAAAAUAUUUUCAAUAUAAUUUAUUUAAAAAUCUUUCUAUCAUUGAUUUUAUGAUAUUUUUAUUUUGUGAAUUUAAAUUUUAAUAUUAUAUAGUUAUUUGUUGAAUAUACAAUAUCUUAAAUGAGAUAAUUAUUAAAUGAAUAAUAUUUAAAAUUAAUUUACUAAUUAAUAGAUUUUUUAAUAAUAUAUACAUAUGUAAAUAUGUAUGGAUGGAUGAAUGUAUAGACUAACUAAUAUUAUAAUCUCUUAUUACUAUGUUUACUAGACAUACUUUUUAUUAUUGGUUUCCUUUAUAAUGAAACCUGAAUUUGUGGUUUGGCUAAUUGAUUUUGUUGAACAUGUAUAUAUAUAUAUAUAUAUAUAUAAUUGUAAAUAAAGUAAAAGAAAUAAUUUUUAUGUAUAAAAAAUAUUUUAAUAAAAUAAUUUAUUUUAUUGUAAUGUUAAAAAAAAUUUAAUAAGAUUUAUAUAUAAAAGUUUAAAUUUUAUUUUUGUUAUGAAUAAAAUAUUUUUAUUAAUAGCUGUUUUUUUAAAUCCCUAGAUAUCAGAAAAAAGGGGGAAAUGUGAGAACUAGGACCGUAGUGUCAGUAGUAACGUAAGCUAGUCCAAAGGUGACGUUGAAAAGUAGUGUUCAUAUUAUACGCAAUAACCGUCAAGAAAGUUCAUUCAAACCUGUAAAUGACUUGCAACAUUUUCUCUGGUUAGUCCUGGCACGUUCAUGAAUUCAAGAAUUUUCUUGGGAACAGCCUCUGCAUGAUCAAUUAAACCCACAAAGAAAUCCAUCGCAGAUAAAUAUGGUUAAUUUUGUAAGUAAAUUAAGUAUAUAAUUAAUCCACUUGAAAGGAAAAAAAAUUGAAUAUAUAUAUAUAUAAUGCUGUCUUACUUUCCAGGCCAAUGUGGCUUACAGCCUGCAAAAACAGAUCAUGCAGUGUAUUUGUCCAAAUGACUUUGGCCUUUUUGGGUGGAGCAGGAGCAGGAGCAGCAGCAGCUUGAGCAGGAGCAGCAUCUCGUUCCUCCUGGCCUUGAUCUCUUACCCUUUUUCUCCCCUUUUUCUUUUUUGGGCCACUCUCUUCAUUCUCUGAUGAAGAAGAGAUAUGAUGAAGUUUGUCAUUUGAUGAAGUUUCCUCUUGGCCACUUCCAAUUUCCUGCUCCAUAACAACCUUUUUACCUUUCUUGGAAGCCACUGCGUACUGCCAAACUAUUUUCAGAUCUUCUGGAUUCACUGGUUUUUUCAUAUAGAAUGCAGCUUCACUCUCUAAACUCUUUAAAAUCUCUUUUUCUUUGUCAUCUGCUGACAUUACUGCAUCAAGAACAUGAUUGAGAAUUCAAAUAAGUGAAAUUAAAUGUAUAUCGUAAGAGGAGUAAUAGCUCAAUACUGAACUUACUAAUGACAGGGAUCUUGAAUUCUUCCUUGACUUGCUUCUGUAGUUCCAAUCCAUUCAUUACAGGCAUAUGAAGAUCAGUGAUAACCAAGUCAAAUGCUCCAUUUUGAACUCGAAGAUUUGAUAAUGCGUCCAAUGAAUUCUUAACGGUGACAACUGAAAGAUCUAUCAUGCAAUCUAUCAAGUGACAAAGACAAUUAUUGAUUAGGACAUUUGAGAGGACAAUAUCAUAGUGCAAAUAAAAAGUAAUAUGUUCCCUAUAACUAGCAACUUCUACAUUUUCAGACUAAGAUCCCCAUUAACCAUAAUGAAAUCAUAUUAUAUAUGGGGAUAAAAAAUUCAUUUCUUUAUCAUAACUAAAAUUAAUAAAUCAACAUAGAAAGUUUACAAAAUAAUUUCUUUCAUACGCUGGGAAGAAAGGGUAAUAUAUAUACAUAUAUAUGAAAAGUGAUUCAUGGAAUUAUCAAAAAAUUAUUAGGAAAGCUAAGGUCAAUUAAAUAAAAUCAAUAUUUUCUAAAAAAGAGAAAACAAUGAUUACUUUUGGGGGAAAAUAUCAAAUACAAAAUAAGGGAGAAAUGUGAUGCAAGUAAGAAAUGUAAUCUAAUACUUCCAAUUAAUAAAAAUAUAAUACUUUCCUGUUAAUCUAUUAUGGUAAAAAUUCCUAUAAAAUUGUAUGAAAUUUUUUCUUUUUCAUUAAUUUAAUUUUUUAUUUUUCUAUAUUUUUAUUAGUUGAAAACACUAAAUUAUGUAGACAUGAUAUAUUAUGUUCAUCUAAUAAAUUUCCGUAAGGUAAUUGUAAAAAUAAUUUUCAUAAAAUUGUUGCAAUUCCAAUAUCCCUAUAGCUAUUGUGGUUUUCUAAAAAAAGAAAACAAAGAUUACUUUUAUCAAAUACAAAAUAAGGGAGAAAUAUGAUGCAGGUAAGAAAUGUAAUCUAAUAUCUUUAACUAAUAAAAAUAUAAUAUGUUAGUACGGUUAAUCUAUUAGGUUAAAAUUUUCGUACGAAAACUUUUUUCUUUCUUAUCAAUUUAAUUUUUUAUUUUUUUUAUUUGAUAUAUAACACGUAUUAUAUUUUUAUUAGUUGAAAGCACUAAAUCAUAUAGAUAUGAUAUAAUAAAUUCACCUAAUAAAUUUCUAUAAGGUAAAUAUUACGGUUAAAAUUUUCGAACGAAAAUUUUUUCUAUCUUAUCAAUCUAAUAUUUUUUUUAUUUAUUUGAUAUAUAACACGUAUUAUAUAUUUAUUAGUUGAAAACACUAAAUCAUAUAUACGUGAUAUUCAUCUAAUAAAUUUCUACAAAAUAAGUGUGAAGUAAUUUUGAUAAAAUUGUUAGCAAUUCCAAUCUCCCUAGAGCUACUUUGUGCAAAUACCAUCAUAAAAACAAAAUAAUAAUAAUAAUAAAACCUAACAAAGGCCUAAGAAAGAAAAUAUCAGGUAUUGUAAAACCGAGCUAUUUUGAAUAAAUACCAUCAUAAAAAAAAAGAAAAAAGAAAAGAGAAAAUCCUAACAAAGGCCUAAGAAAGAAAAUCUCAAAUCUAGGUAUUGUAAAACCAAAAGAGGAAUUAGUGAGAUCUUAAAUUUUGAUCUGUUAGAUAAAGAUGAGGGAAGAAUUGGGAGGUGGUAGUUUGUAAUUCAAACAGUUGCUUGAUCGAAAACCUCAAUUUCUUAGUCAAAAUUGACUCAAAUGGAAGACAUCUAUUGCAUCAAGUCAAAACAUUUCCGAUCAAAGCCUUGUCAAAACACUGACCAGUUGAAGAUCUAUUGUAGUUCCCUUCUAACAAGCAAUAAAACAAAAAUUGAGCAAAAUAAAAGUAAUAAAAUUAGCAAAGAAAUACAAAAGAAUCCUCAAGAGGUAUAGGAUAAACAUAUUCAAAAUCCAACUAAGAUUGAAGAUGAUUAUGGAAUUUUGGAUGGCAGGACUUCAAUUUCAACAAUCAUGCAUAGAUAUGAUAUUUUCACCUUUACCAAUGAACAAACACAGUAAACAAAAAUCGCCCUCUAGGAUUUGAUUAGGAAAACAAGCACACAAAACCUAUCAAAUCAAAAACAUACAAGAAAAUCCAGAGAUUAUUGGUAAAGAAAUUAUGAGGUAGAUAGCUAUGAGAUCUCCAAUUCAUAUACCUUGGAGACUGCAUUUUUUAAGCAUUGAAGAGACAAUAGCAAGAGAGGUAGAGUCAUCAUCCACAACCAAAAUUUGGAUUUUGAAAAGAGAAGUUUUUUUCUUGAGAGAUUGAGAGGAUGCAAUUCCCCCAUUGCUCAUGUUUUCAAGAUUGGGCAACUUGGAAGAAAACAACUUAUAAUUGAAUGUACCUCUCAAACUGCAAAAUAGAGGACUUGAAGAAUGUCUUACACUUGUCAGUCCCACUGAUUAUAUAGUGUAAGACCAUUAGACCAAAGGUGCCUUUAUAGAAAACUCACGUUUUCCAUUUCUUUUCCUCUACUUAUUUCGGGUGGUUUUUCACAGCUUAUAUUGUUAAAUAAAAUAAAAUAAAAAAUCAUAGAAAAACCAUAUUAAUUUUCUGCUUUCGCCCACUGAAUUUCAAAUUAAUAAAUGUUAAAAAUCUAGUGUGAAAUCAGCAUUUAAUGCAUUUUACCUUAAUUGAGAUGUUCUCACUAAGAGUUCCUUCUAUGGAAGAUUUCACAAUCUUUCUUGUCAAGUUUUCUUUUUUUCUUAGGUUUUUAUUUUCCUUGUUAAGAAAUGAAUGAUUUUUUUUCAAUUACCUGCUGUUAAUAUUUUUUUUAAUAGUUGACUGAUUUUUUUUUAUUUAUUACAUAACUCACUGAAAAAAUAAUUUUUAAAACCAAUAUAUAUUAUACGUAUAUUUUAUUAGUUUGAAAUUUUAAAUCAAUUGUGUAUAAUUUUUUAGGAUUAGUGAUUUAUCCAUUCAAUAAGUUUAGAACUAAAUGUUUUCAAAAUAAAAUAAAUGGUGAAUUCAAUAAUAAACGUCUAUUUGCAUUCUAACCUUUAAUAUGAAGUAUAUAUUAUCUUUCCAUGCAUAAGGAUAAGGCUAAUAAUCCAUAUUUCAGGUGUAAGUGUUAUUUGCAUUAAACCUUUCCAGUGAUGAAAGGUUUGAGAUUCGAACUUUUAACAUCACAAAUCCAGCUGAAUAUUGAAACUUUACGUUAUUUAUUUUAUAUACCAUGUGCGAUUUAUCUAUUAAAACAUCCAACAAUUUGCAACUAUUUGGGAGAAAUAAAAAAUGAAACUAUAAGUUUCCAGACAGUGGGAGAAUCAUCGGGCUUUAACCACAUGCCGAUUGAAUAAUGAGGUGGUUUAUUGUAUUAAAUUAAUUAAUUUAAGAUUAAUCCAUAUUUAAGGAUAUUCACAUAAAAAUGACAAUUUCAUUCGAAUUUUUAACAUCGCAAGUCUAGCUAGCUGGAGAUUGAAACUUUACUUAUUUCAUGUACCACCUAUAAUUUAACCAUUAAAACAUCCGGGAAAAAUAAAACAUAAAAAUAAAACUAUAAGUUUCUAAGACGGCUGUUGAAAACUAAGGUGGCUUAUGAAAUUAAAUUAGUUUAAAUAAUAAAAUUAAUAUAUAAAUAUUUACUAUUAAUUAGUAUAUUAGCUGCACUCCACUAAUCUCACUAUUUGGAGGUAAAUUAUGUAUAAAUUUAAUAUUGAAAACAUAUUUAAAUAUAUAAUUCAAUUUAUGCAGAUAUAUUGAUAUUAAAAUUUUAAUAAUUCUAUUUGCAUGACGUAAAAUGUCUAAACAUUUUAAUUUUGGCUAUGCAGUUGGAGAUAAUAAAAACAAAAAUGUUGAAGUAACGUAUAUAAAAAAUUGUGCAUUGUAAAAAUAUAGCUUUUAUGUAACAUUUAGCUUUUAUUUAAAUUUUAAAAUUGUUACAAGUUUCGUUAGAAGUUUUUUUUUUUUUAAAUAUGCAUUUAAAUAUAAAAAGAAUUCUGAAUAAAUUUAAACACAUAUAUAGAGAAUAUUUUAAUAAAAAGAGAGUCCAAUUAAUAUUAUUCGGCACUCAUACAGAAAAUCUUUAAACCCGUUCCAUAUUAAUUUUCAAAAUCUAAAAUGCAUUUUUCUAAAAUAGAUUAUCAUUUUAGAAUUAGUUAAAAUAUUAUUUUAUAAUUAAAAUAUUUUAGUUUAUUUUUCAAUUAAUUUAUAAUGCUCUUUAUAACUAAUACAUUAAGAAAAACUCAACAGUUAUUUUAGUUACAAAGGCAAUAUAAGGUGUGCAAACGAAUUGGUGGCAUUUGUUGGUCUCGCAUGUCGGGCUUUUGGUGGAUGCAGCAACCUGCACUUAUAGAAGAAAAAGAUUAAGAAUCCACUUGGAUUGCAUGCACAUGCUUUAACCUUCAUCAACAAAAUCUACCUUUAGAUAUCAAAUAAAACUUGCAGUAAAAAUGGAGUUUUUUUACCUUCUUAUCUUGUGUUCAGUGGUAAUAAAUGGAAGUUUGUAGUAAAAAUAAAUGUGACUAGGUACGUCUAUGUUGUGUAAUUCUGAAAACCGCUGUUGGAAACUGGGCUCUGCUUCUGCCCAUGGUUUACAAAACCACCGAUUUUGGAUUGCCACUAGUUCAUUUCUACAUGACAAAUUUGCCCUACUUGCCAAAAUUUGGUUUAAGAGAGAUUGUGGAAAUUGAAAUUGGCUCUUGCCCUUUUAAGUCUUGCUAAUCUGUCACAUUAAUGAAAAGCCAUGACGUGUACACGCCAGAAUCUGAAGCCCUGGUUUAGAUAAGAUCAAUUUUUAAGUAAUUAAGAUUUUUUUUUUCUUCUUAAUAUCUAUUGAAGUAUUAAUAAUUAGCUAUUUAAAUGAAUAUGAAAUCUGUAAAAAUUAAAUUAUUUAAAUUUAAAUUUAAUUUAUAUUAAUAAUAUUUAAAUUUAUUAUAAAUUUAAUUAAAAAUUAAUUUAAACUAUUUAAUUCAUUUCAAUUAUUAUUAUUAAAUAAAAUUUGAAUUUAUUUAGUUUUAUAUAUUUUUAUUAAUAAUUUAUAUAAAAAAUAUUUUUUAUUAAUGAUUCUCAUUUAAAAAAUUCAAUAUUUAUAAAAAAUAUUUAAUUUUUAAUUUUUAAAUCAAAAUAUAUAUAAAUAUUAUUAUAAAAUAUAUUUUUUAUAUUAAAUUAAUUAUUUAUAUCAACAUAUUAUAUUUUAAUUUAAAUUUAUUUCAAAUUCGAUUAUAAUUAUAUAAACUUAUUCUAUUAGGAUUCAAUUAGAUCAAAUAUCAAAAAAAAUCGACCCUUUUUAAUUCAUAUUCAUUUUAAAUUCGAUUAUAAUUAUCUAAACUCAUGUUAUUAAGAUUCGAUUAGAUCAAAUAUCAAAAAACUCGAUCCGUUCUCAUAAGUAUGCAAUGAAAAAUUUAAUGAUAAAUUGUCACCAAUUUUCCAAGGAUUUUUUUUUUAUACCAAAUUUUCAAUGAUAGAAAAAAAUAGAUAGAUGGCUAUUCUUGCUUUAUUACUUUUUCAGUGCUGAAAAAAACACUCUCAACAUGGAAUUUUACAGGACUUAAUUUUCUUUUUCAGUCAGAUUUUAAUUUGAAAUUUCAUAAUUUUAAAAAUAACACCAAUAUUAAUAAUUUUAUUUGGAUUAUUUUUUAUAUUCCUACCUUUUUUUAGUUUCCUCUUAUUUUUCUCGGACCACAAUUCAACGUUUAGCAUUUGCACUGUAGAAUUGGGAACAAUAAAAAUAAAUAUUUAAAAAAAAAAACAUUAACAUUUAUAUUUAUGUAUAAAAGCUCAAUAAUUAUCAAUUAUUUUUAAUAAACAGAAAUUGCAAAUAAACAGUCUAAAACUGAAAUUAUAACAAAUUAAUAGUCCAAGGAAAUUUGAAUUUUUCAUUUACACAUUUUUUUAGUCUAAAAGGAAAGAAGUUUGCAUUUAGACAUUAUCAAAAUGUGUAUAUGAUCCUCAUAUAUUAAGAGAUUUAUUUUAUAUUAUGAUUUUUUAUUUGAUAAAAUUAUCAUUAUUAUAUAACAUUAAUAAUUAUAUUUAUUAUCACAAAUUAAUUUAAGAUUUGACAAACAAUUAUUUUUAUCAUUUUUUAAUAAUAAUAAAUAUAAUUAUUAACCUAUGAAGAUAUUUUGUAUAUGCACUUUUGAUAAGGUAUAAACGUAAAUUUCUCUCUUUUUAUUAAAAAAAAAUAUAUAAAUAAAAAUUGUUAAUAUAUGAAGAUCUUUUGCAUAUACGCUUUUGGUGAUGUUUAAAUGUAAAAUUCUCUCUUUUUAUACCAAAAAAAUACGUAAGUGAACGUUAUUAAAUAUAUGAUGAUGCUUUGUAUAUGCACUAUUGAUUAAAUGUAAAUUUCUCUUUUUCUAUACCAAAAAAUGUGUAAAUGAAAAUUAUUAAUAUAUGAGGAUACACUUCGUGCCACUCAGUUUUUUUUUUUUUUUUUUUUNNNNNNNNNNNNNNNNNNNNNNNNNNNNNNNNNNNNNNNNNNNNNNNNNNNNNNNNNNNNNNNNNNNNNNNNNNNNNNNNNNNNNNNNNNNNNNNNNNNNNNNNNNNNNNNNNNNNNNNNNNNNNAAAAAAAAAAAAAAAAAACAAAACAAAACAGUAACUACCCUUGAGAGUAGUUUGAGUCAAAGUUUGGUGUCAGAAAUGGAGAUUCUCUUGACCUGUUCCAGGAAGAAAUGAUAAUGCAUGCCAUCUCUGGAUCUGCAUUUUCUGAAACAAUAAAAAGGGAAAAAAAUUAUACAAAAACAGAAAGAGAGAUUUGCCAGUUGGAGGAAGGAACUUAUCUUACCUAAAUCCCGAGCACACAAACUCAGAUUAGAAAGUCAACACAGCAUUCUCACUCUUAUACUAGUCAAAUUUUACAAUACAGUUGGUAUCCUCUGUCUGUAUGUGCACAAUCAUUCAGUUUUCCCAGAUAUGAUAAGUUGAUAACACCACCCAUCCACAACGUCUAGUCUUGGCUGAUUGAGAAGCUGCUUUUAAGUCUGCCACCGGCCUGGAGGACCGAGUUUGUUGAACCGGGGGCAAUCUGGCUGGUGGGCACCACUUACAUCUCCAGUGAAUUCACGCCACAGAGAUGGAGCAUGUGCUCUAUAAAGUCACGUAGAAAUUAUGAAUAUUAAAGUCUAGUUACUCUGAAAUCUUAUGAUCUUCUACAGUUAAAUCUUUGACGGCUACAAAAACACACUUACCUCCAAUAAUAUUUGCAUUCCUAUAGAAGCAUGAAUCGCAAAAUUAGACAGCAGAUAUUAAACUAAAUAUUUCAAAUUUUAUUAAUCACUUUUGCCUUUUUAAAUUAAAAAUAAAUAAUUAUAAAUCUAAUUUUUAUCCGCAAAUAAAUUAAAUUAAUCUAAUUCAAUUUCAAUCAAAUAUAAUUUUGAACUAUAAAUUCAAAGAUGAUUUUACGAUACAAUUAAAAAUCAUCAUUAAUCAUGAGAUAUUUUUUUUUUCAGCCUCCAAUUUGUUAUAAAUAAUUAACUAUCAACUAUAAAUUACUCUAUGAUAUUACUUAAUAAUUAUAACUAUGUGUCACGAUUCGACCUAUCAAAAAAAGGCGAGUCUUGACAAUGAUCCAAAUGUUGAAGUGUCUGAAUCUCAUUUUUAUAACGAAACUGCAUUUCUCACUUAUUAAAUUUUUUCUACUUGUAAAAUUCCUACCAUGUACUCUUAUUUUAUAAUAAUAACUCAUAAUUUAUUUUGUUCAGAUAUUAUAUACCAUCACGGAUGAUUCUAUCGUUAUCAUCGAAGCUUGUCAAGAGAAAGCUCCCCAACUAGCCAUUCAUAAUAAGAUCUUGAAUAUUAUGAAGCUCUCAAAUUGGUUUGUGCAAGUUCACUUCUCUUGGAUCAAAAGGAACGGGAAUCGAGUUUCUCAAUGCCGUAGCAAAAAAAUUUUUGCUUGAUUUCUCAUUCGGAUGUAAUUUAGUUCAAGAUAUAGGAGUAAAGUACAUUUCUUUUACAGUAUAUUAAUAUAUAUUAAAAAAACAUGAAUUAAUUAUAUAAUAAUUUUUUUGUCAGAGGUUAUAUAAUAAAUAAAAUUGAUCGAAAAAAUUUAAUAUUUAUAUUAUUUUAUAUUUUAAUUUUGAAAAAAUUAGCUUAAUAUUUAUAUUUAAAAUAUAAUUUUAAUUAAUUUUUAAAAUUAAAAAUAAAAAUAAAUAAUUUAAUAGUUAAAUAUUUCGUUUACGCCUUAAAUAAUAAUAUAUUUUAUUUUAUAAUAAUAUUAUAAAUAUUUUAUAAAAAAAUAUAUUAUUUAAUACAAACUAAUAGUAUAUACAAAAUGAUUAAAAUAACAUAUUUAUUAUAAAAUUUUUAUAAUUAUUAAUACCAAAUAAAAUAUAUCUAUUAAGUAUUUAAUAAUUAAAUUAUAUUACUUUUAUAAUUAAAUUUAUUAUUAAUUAUAAUUAAAUAUAAAUUAAUAUUAUUUUCAUAUAUAAUAUAUUAUAUUUGACAUUCUAUUUAUAUUUUUAUAUUUUAAUUUUUAAGAAUUAAUUAAAGUUACAUUAAAUGUAAAUAUUAAAUAAUUUAUUUAAAAUUUAAUAGUUUAAAUUAAAAUAUAAAAUAAUUUACCUUAAAUAAAAUAAUAUGUAUCAAUCAAAUAAUAUAAUUGCAUAAAAAAAAAAAACGAAAAAACAAAGAGAGGUCGGUCAUACCUAUUAAAAGACACCAUAUAGAAAUUUCCUAGACCUUCUCGAUUGACCUCAAUUUUUACGAGACAAGUUAUGUAAUUUGCAGUUCCAUUUUUACCCACCUAAGCCCUGACCCUGCCUGCUAAACAUUAAUGACUACGACCUAGUGAUUGGUGUAAACAGGUUUUUUCUGUCCUUGUAAUGCCAAUUAUAUUCUAGGAAAAAGGAAAAAGAUAAAUUGCUUGAUUUAUAAACAAUUUAGUGACAACAGUCUGAACAUUCAAAAAAUGAAGACGGUGUUAAUUAUAAAACCAACCUAAUCUUCUAUAUUAAUUUUAAUAAGUAUAUAUUUGCACUCACACUCAAAAACAAAAAAACCGUAAAAUCAAUAGUGUGACUGUAGUGUAAUUUAAGUUAAAUUAAUUAGUAGCAGAAACGGAAUAGUAAUUGAACAAGUUUCACUAUCGUUAACAAUGAUGGCUUAUCGAUCCAAUGUUUCGAAGAGGGUGUUAAGGCAAGAUCCCAGAGAUCAUUGAUUGAUUGAUGGGAAACAAAUUAAAUAAGCACAAGACAAGGGAGAGGACCAGUGAGUCAGUCUCAUUAAUUCAAAAACUGGACCAAUCUUUUUAUACAAUGCCAUCCAAAUGAUCACCACAACCAACCAGCAAAUUAAAUAUCAAGAUAUUAAAAGCACACUGAUAAAAGAAGAGUGGCAAUCUUUAAUUUUAAAUCAGUAAUGCCAUUAAAAUAUUAAAUUUAUUUUUUUUUUUAUAAUAUCACUUUUAAUUAUUUGAAUUAGUUUUGUUGGUUUGUGUUGUGUAAGUAUGCAUUUAGAAAGAGAAGAAGAAGGAAAUGGUUUAAGAAGAGCAGGUAAGCAACAGCUAAUGGAGUUGUGUGUGGCUAAUAUCAAAACGUGUGCGCACUGUAACCUUUCAUCACAGCCAGGCCAAUCAGUCACAUCAAACACAAAUUUAUAUAAUAAAAGAAAAGCCCAAUAAAAUUAAAAGCGUUUGAGCUGUAGAGAAAGUCCGCGAAUUCCCCGCGCUUCAGCCCAUUGUUUCAUUUCCCCAUAUAAGCAAGCCUCAUCCAUUUGCCCAUCAACUUGUCAUUUGAGAGAACAAUAUCUCCCACAUUCAAUAUACUAUUUUUGUUAUUUAUAGAAAGGAACGUACGAUCCAUUUACUUAUUGCAUAUUUUAAUAUGGCCGAUCCGCAGUCUAAUGCGCCGCCCCAAGACGAUCAACCGCCAUCCAAUGCUUCGAUACAAGUUCCAGCUGAACCUCUUCUGCUGCCCGAUGACCAAUCACCGCGCUCCACGUCAUCAAAUCAGUCGCCCAGACCCAUUCGAUCUCCGGGUGGCUCUUCCAGUCAUCCCAGUAGCGGCAGGCAUCCGAGUUAUAGGGGAAUUCGAAGCCGGAGCGGGAAAUGGGUGUCGGAGAUCCGGGAGCCACGUAAAACUACGCGUAUAUGGCUGGGCACGUACCCUACCCCUGAAAUGGCAGCCGCCGCCUACGACGUCGCAGCUCUCGCUCUCAAAGGUCCCGACACGCCCUUGAACUUUCCGGAAUCUAUUCUUUCUUACCCUAUACCAACAUCCACGUCAGCCAACGACAUAAGGGCCGCGGCUGCAAGUGCAGCUGCAGCCAGACAGCCCAAGGUAGAAACCGGGUCAAAUCCGGAUGCGGGUCAGCCCAUUGCUGAGGUCACGUCUUCCAGUACGAGCCGCGUUGAGUCAGGUCAAGAAUUUAUUGACGAGGAAAUGUUUCUAAACUUGCCAAAUUUGCUGGUGGACAUGGCAGGAGCAAUGAUGGUGAGCCCUCCAAGGAUAAACACGCCGUCGUCUGAUGAUUCGCCGGGUGGUUCCGAUGCUGAAGGCCUAUGGUCCUACCAGUAAACCAAUCCCUUUGCUUCAGCUGCAGUGUAGAAGGAAAAGAGGAGUGAUUUGGAUGGGUAAUUUAAGGUGUUUUCUUCUUAUUUCGAAGCUUGGAUUUGCUUAGACUAUAGAUUGCUAGAUUGAAGGGUGUGUAUCACUAUCACUGCAAAGAAAAGUAGCAGAAAAAACAGGUAGGUGACUUUGCUGCCACUUAUCGUUAAUUAGCUGUAUAUGUACAUGCCAGGGCUGGGGACAGCUAGGGAAGGGGACGUCUCAUUCAUCUUUGUUUGGCAAAAAAGAUUACUUGUGUCAUUCUCAAUGAGAUGAGUCUGAUAUAUAUUUUAUGGUACGGAGAGUCUCUCAUCCGCACACUUUCUUUUUUCAAUUUUUUCCCCGUUUUGGGUCUUAAGACAUAUUUAAACUUUCUUGAUGAACAUGGCUAACUUACGCAACAUGAUUUGUACUUUUCUUCAAAUGGGUUUUUUAGCUUUUCCUCUUCCGCACUGGAAUUGGAGUUUUGACAAUGGUGUUUUUAACUUUUAAGUCACAUGAAGAUGAAGGUUGUAUAAACCCAGAUACUGGUGCAAAUAAUCAGAAACGGGUUGAUGCCUGUGGUUCAGUUAUCAAGAGGCCAAAUAAUGAUAAUGAUACAACUCAUAGCAGCUGCAGAUGUCGGGGAUUGAGACAGAUCAAUUCUUGUUCUCUAUAUAUUACAAGUUUUAUGCCUUGGGAUCUCUUGUUCUUAGGUUUUCACUUAAUGCUGGUAUUCUCAUCACAUCUCUUGUUUUGCUGCUACUCCACCACAAAUGUGAGCAUGCACUGGUACAAUUUGUGCGCAUAUAAUAGAGGGAAACGAUUUGCUUUCUCAUCACAUCUUUGCCCAUUUGUAGCUCCAAGCUCACAUCUUCCUUUAGGGCCUAAGCGUCAUGUUUGUGCAAACGAUGUUUAUGGUUGAACCGUUUUAGUUUCUUCGAUGUUCUACUAAAAUGAACACCAUGCAUCACCGCAAAAAGAAGAUAUUUGUAAAGGUAAGCCGAGAUUUUUCUUAUUAAAUGAUUGCUUUUCGUGUUGUGUUCUGGCCUUGUAAAGUUCAUAUGUAAUGGGGUGCAAACUCUAGCGCUUUAGAUAUCAAAUGAACAAAAAAAAAAAAAGAGUAAAAUCUGUACUGCUUCACCAGGCAGGCACAUAACGCUUUGCCCUAACUUUUUGAAUGGAAGAUCGACCCAACGAAAGCUUUAUUUUGUUUUUAAAGCUACAUUGUGAUCGGUUAAAUCUCUACGGCAGUGUGAAUCCGACAAUAGAAUAAAUUUAGAAUUUGAGAGUAGGAAGUAAAUUGUCUACUUUUAGCAUAAUAAGAAUUUCAUUAGCUAAUCGAUCGGUGAUCUCAAUGAUAAUUUGAGAGUAAUUGUUUAAGCGAAUUGCCUUUAGGAUAAUAAGAAUUUCAUUAAUAAGAAUUUCAUCGGUUAAUUUAUAAGUGAUCUCGCAAUCAUAACCAUAACAGGGAAAUGUUCGCAUAUGUCUUGUAGCGGUAAUUUUAUAUUAAAACUCGACCUAUUUAUGAGGGGGCGAGUUUUGCUGUGAUGUUUGAAUGUAAUAGCUUAAUUUAAACAGACUAAAAAAAAGUUAAAAAGUUUUGAAUUCAUUUUUCACUUGAUCCAAAAUGGUAAAAUCAAAUUAUUUAGUAGUUUCGUACUGGUUAUUAUGUAUAAUUUCAAUUUUUCUUUUUGUAAACGGACGAUAUGAGACGUGAUAAUUCUCUCUCGUUCAAUUUUGCAAUGUCACGUUACAAUUUUAUUGUGUUGAAUUAGGUACAAUUUUAUAUAGGAUCAGACUCUUGAGUAUUGUGAUUCGCUAGUAUCUAAAGGUGGCUCGACCUCGUCCCAUUGGUAACUCUUUCCUUACGAUCCACUAACUUCGCAUAAUUUUUCUUACAAUCCACUAAUUCCACAUAAUUUUUUUGAUUUAGGAUGACUCUGGUAUCAAUUGUAACAUUUCAGUUCAAACUAAUUCAAAUAACUUUUAAAUUCAUUCUUUACUUGGUUCAAAAUAAUUAAUUCAAAUUAUUUUAUAAUUUUAUACGAGAUAUUAUAUAUAAUUCCAUUUUUUCUACCGUGAUUAAUCUAAAUUAUGAAGUUUCAUAGUAAAAUUAUUUUUUUUAUAAGCGAAUAAUAUGAGACGCGAUAUCGAAUCUUUUUUUUCUUAAAUAGAAGAAUUGUAUUUUAAAUUAUCAAAUACAUACCAUACGACUGUUUUGUAGCGAUAACUAUCAUUGUGUAACAUCAAUUUCAACCUAUAAUUCAUGUUAACUAACAUUUUAAGGGUUAUAUUUAUAUUUCUCUGAAACUUUCAGAGAAAGGUUGCUGCAAAAUUAAUGAAAAGCUCGCUAAUCGAGUAUAUUACUGCAGGUCAAUGAUAUGUAAGAAAUUAAAAACCAUGGGGACAAUCUUGUUGUUAACUGAUUAUUGGUAUUUUAAAUAACAAUAAAAUGACGUGUUGCUAUUUUUAACAUUAGCGGAUUUGGUUAUGCAUCUCAGAAAGUUUCCUAUCUAAAGGGGAAGAAAAAUCUCAGCAAGUUUCAGAAAACUUACAGAAAAAAUAUUAAUGGGAAUUUGCUAAUCAUUUCAUUUGAGGACAAAGUAAAGUAGUGAAUAUUUAGAGAAGAAUAAAGAAACUUGGAGUUUCUACUGUCUGGUGUGGUGUUCAUCAAAUUCUGUAGUCAUAUACUCACGCUUUGAGGAAAAAAGAGAGCCUUAUAUUGUUAAGAUUGUGGAAAUUACAAUGUAAAACUGCCUUUGCUAGCAAAUUUGGAUCGGAAAAAACUUUGAUAGAGUAUGAUAUAAUGCAUGAAGUAGAGUUACAUAGAUAUGCAAAUUAAACCAUUAUCUGGAUUGCUUGUAUUUGAGUAUUACGCUUACUGAUUUGUGAACUGUUUUGAAGAAGUGCACCUGGACAACAUUUUGUAAGGAAGAUUUGUGUCAGUUGUCUUUUAAGAAAUGGAAAUAGAGGGAAAGAACGAACUGUGUUGUGCAAAUUUGAAAAAAGAAAAGAAAAGAAAAGAAAAGAAAGUUAAACCUGCAGGGAGUCGGCAAUGGAAUUUGUCGCAAAUUGAUGCUUGAUGACUAAUUUGUUGAAAAAAGGUAAAGCAAGUGGGGCCUAGUUUAAUGGCCCAAACUGUUAAAAUCUUAAACCGACUAAAAGGGGAUUACCGACUGUUCUGUUCUUUGAUUUUUCUUUUUGAAUGACAAUCAAUUCAAAUGGUCGACAUAUUUAUUGGUGUAAAUCUAGAGACACAAUUCGCAUCUCCAAGAGAGGUAGCAGUCUAGAUUAAUUUCAAGGCUCAGAUUUCGAAAGAAUAUACCUAUUUGGUCAAUACCUUCUGCGCUUCAAUUUCACUCCAUGAUGUGGUUUUGUGUACUUGCUACUGCCAAUUUGCAAUGUGAACAAUGUCCAGUGGGUCUCAUACAUGAUAAUUGAUUCGGACUUUGCUACUCUCAAAAUUCUCCCAAGAUUUUGCCCUCAAUCUUCUAAGAUUCAUUAAGCAAAUCAACAUUAUUUUCUAUUAACUUAAUCAUGUGAUUAUUAUCUAACGACCACACUAUCAAUUAGCAAGUUUUCUGAGAUUAUUUAACAAUAUUAUCAUUUUUUUUUUCAAGCAAUAAUUUAGAAAGCCAAAUUUUUUAUAAAAUAGAUGGAAUAUUUAAUGUAAUUUUCUAUAUUUAAGUAUAAAGUUGAAUUGUAUGAAGUUACAGUUGCAAUUGCAAUAUAAAAUGGUCAAUUUCUAUAAAGGGAAAUGAUUGUGAUUCGUCUCCAAAAACAAGACGAUCCUAUAAGAUCAUGAAAAAGGAAAAAGGGGGCAGGGAAAAAGUCGAUGGUCAAUUCAGUAAUAUUUUAGAGGAUGAGAAGAUCACAUCCACCAACUCCACAGAGGCUCGGCGAGGCUCUCAGAUAUUUUUAAGAGAUUCAUUUCACUUAGUUUUUAACGACUGUUCAAACUACGGCUAUACUAGACAAGUUCUCUAUUACAUCACAACUCUGGCCUACCAUGAUAUGCCUUGCCUUUAUUACUAAACUUUUAGGCGUUGCUUGGAUUCCUUACUCCAACAUAAUUAUUAUAAUUUUAUUCACAUUAUUUUCGAUAUAUAAAAUUAAUGGCCAGCAACUAAAUAGCAGGGGUGAGCAUUCGAUCAGUUCGGUUUAAAUUUAAAUUAACCCAAAUAAAUUAAAAAUUAAAAUUUUAAUAUUUAUAAAAAUUGAAUCAAAUUGAUUUUGAUUAAAAACCGAAUUGAAUCGAAUCGGUCUGAUUCGAUUCGAUUCGAUUUGAUCGGUUUCGAUUCGAUUUUAUCGAUUUCAAUUUUUAAUAAUUUUUUUAUUUUUUACACUUUAUUUUUAAUAUUUUAAAAUUUAAUUAAAAUAUUUUAAUUUUAAUAUAAUUUAAUUUCUCUAUAUUAUUGAACAAAAUAAUCGAAAUUUUUGAAAUUAAAAAUCAAAUCGAACUGAAAUAUAUAAAAAAUCAAAUCAAAAUUUCAAUUCGAUUCGAUCAAUUUUUUCGAUUUAAACCGAAUACUGCUCUGCUAAAUAGUAUAUAUUUCAAACUUGGAGAAUAUUUACCUUAAUUUAUAAAAAAUUUAUACUUACUUAAAUUUUAUAAGAUUAAUAUUCUAAAUAAUUACAUUUUUUAUUAAAAUACUCUAAACAGAACAAAUUUAUUAUUAAAAUUACUAAAAACUAUUAAAUAAAGUUAUUCUAAAAUUUAAAAUUAACUUGAUUUAUAAAUUUAAUGUUUAUAAAUAUUAAAAUAAUAAACUAGUUCUUUUAGUUUAUUUUUUAAUUUAUAAAUUAAAAAAUUAUAAAUAAACAAAUCAACUUAAUUUUAUAUAAAAAAAAUUAAUUUAAACCCAUUUAUAAGCUAAUAUAAAUGCUUUCCCACUCUAGUUUGACGUUGUACUAGGUUUCAUAUAUGAGAGGGUUAAAUCGAGAUCAAUGGAACUACCCAACUAUGGACAGUGUUUAUAGGAGAAAACAAACAAAGGGCCAUGGAUUUAUGAGUCAACGACUGUCACAUCCGGAAAGGUGUUUUUCUUUUUUUUUUUUAAUGCAAGUCAAGAAUUUCAAUAUGGUUAAAACAUUGAAUUUGAUAAUUUUUAGUUUAUAAACUUUAAUUUAUUUUUUUAUGUUAUAUAAAAUUAAUCAUAACGCAAUAAAAAUUUAAUAAAUAAUAAUAUUUGAUUUACUGUGAAAACUUACGCUUGUUCGGUAAAUUGAGUCUUAAUACAUAAUUUUCAUUACCGAGUAUACACUCAUAUCGUCUAUAAUCACGAAAUCACUAAUUUAUUAGUUAGCGAUAUCUCUAAUUGAAUGAGAUUAUUAUCGAAUUUUAAAAAAUAUUAUAUUAAUUUUUAUUUUUUUAUGGUAUAAAAUAAAAAUAAUAAUAAAAAUAAACGUAUAUUAUCUCUAAAACUACUUAAAUUUUAAAUAAUCUAUUAUAUUUUUCAUUCUUCAAAAUAAAAUUGAGCGUCAAAAUGACCGCGAUGAAUAAUAACUAUUGUCUCACGCAUUUUUAAUUAAUUAUACUAUAGUUUCAUUUUCACCGCAUCAAUAAUCUAAUUUGAACAACAUCUAUUUUAUUAUUAAUUUAAAAAAAUUCAGAUAAUUUAGCUUUUAUUACUGACUAGUUCUUCUCUUUUAUUUUAUUUUUGGUGUCGUCCUCCUCCUCGUUCAUUUCAUUUUUUUUUUUUUUAAAUCUCUUUCUGCUUGCACUCACUCCUUUCUUGUUGUUUAUGUCCUUCCCUAUUUUAAUCUUGUCCCACUACUUGUUCUACCCCUAUAUUUAGUGAUGGUAAUUUUAGAGCAUCCAAAAAAAUUAUUUAAUAAAAAUAUUUUUCUAAUUAGAAAAAUCAUUUUUAUGUAUAUUGAAAAUUUGGUUAACACUUUUAUAUAUAUAAUCAGUUUUGAUUGAAUUCUAAUUCUUACAAAGCUUUUUUUGAAAAAAAAAAGCUUAAAUUUAUUAAAAAAAAACAUAUAUCAUAUAAAAUAUUUAAUGUUUUCCGUAAAAUUAGAAACCAAGGGAACUCUAUAGAACUGAUUUCAUCCCCUGGAAUUUUAAACACAACUCACCAAUUUACGCUCAAAAUUGAAUUGUAGCCAACCCUUGCCGGGUUCUACCUUCCCCCCAAUAGUCUAAUAAAGCUUGAAGAUGAAAAGAUUGAGUUUUGGGACAUAAUCAAAUACUCAGUUUUUGGGAAUUAUGGGCAUACUGUGUCAUUAUUAUUUUUCAAUUUGAUGUUUUAUUUGAAUUUCAUAGAUUUUUAAAUAUGGGAUUGAAUUUUCUUUUUUAAUUCCAGAUUGGACAAAUUAAAUGAGCGAUUCUUGACCUCUUACAAUUUACUAAUAACGCGAUGCUCUACUAUAAUAUUUUUGGACAACAUAACCUAUAACUUCUGCUACUCUUAUAAAAGCUUGCUCCAUAAAUGGAAUAUUAUCUGUUAGAAGGCUUACUCAAUUCAGCUUACAUAUUUUUGUUAUUAUUUAAGGAUAUCUAAGUUCAUGAAAAAACUUAAUGUGGUAGGACUAUGUUUUCUUGAAUGUUUGGACCAAGAACAAAUGAUAACUAUCUUAGACUUAUCAGGAAGUCCAUCCAGGGUUUAAGCCAAUUUUAACUAAUGUUUCUGAAAUGAGUUGGCAAUGGGAUACCAAGGGGCCGGGUUUAAAUCUCUGGGACAAGAGAUAAUAAUGAUGAUCCAAUUCUUUGAGAUGAGGCUGAUGUGUUUUUUAUUUGCAAUUUAAGAUAAGAUUUCAUGUAUAAUCCAAUUGUGAAAUUGCGUUUUAUCAUGUCACUUAAUCCAAUUGUACCAACCCUAACACAAUGGAAAAAAUAUAUAUAUAUAACACACACAACUGCAAGCCUUGAUUCAGAUAUGCCUCCAGUAUAAUAAUUUAGGUCAAAGUAUAUUUCGACUUCAUUACAGACAAGGUGCCUUUCAUGGUACCUCAAUUAUUUUUAUGGGUACCCUAAACUUUAAAGCUGUAAUUAUUUGGCGUUUGAAAGUGAAUGUUGAUCCUGACUCCUGACGUAGGUACGAGAAGUUGAGCUAGGCUAUGGACCCAUGACAUGACCCAGUACUGGUCCCCUAUUCCAUAAGGUAGAAUCGCACGACACCAAACAUGGCUUGUCCAGCCUGGCUACGAGGACCAAUUAUACGCAGUUUUGGCGUGGAAAAUUCUCAGCUGGGUCAUGUCUGUGGCCCACAUCCAUAUAUGUUUGGAAGCAAAGAAAAUGAAGGAAAAAUAACCAGAGAAAUAAGAAAGUGUAUUAUUUAAAACAGGGAAUUCGGACUCUUUCUCUGUGCAAUCCAAUACGUACGGUGGUCAAGCAGUGGGUGAUGAUGUAAACAGUCCCAGUUUCCUAUCUAACUUCCUUCAGUUACUUCCAACUAUAAAAUUUGGAAUUUAGAUUUUGAUGUGGGACCCUGAAAGCGAUAGUUGGGGCAGCUAAUAAUAUAACAUUUUGUGGGCACGUGGUCCACGCGUUUCCGCGGCUAGACCCAGUGAGCAAGAGACUGUGUCUGUGAGCCACUCAAGUCUCAAGGCAGUUGGAUUAACUGUCAACCGUGUUUUGAAAAGUGUGUGACCUCGCCCCCAGAAGCUUCUGAUUCUACGUGCCACCUAAGCAAGUUUAUCAGGACACAGUCCAUCUCCAAUCCUCAAGAUAACCAGCCUGGCUCCUUAUCACACUCCGUGUUCGUGUUUCUUCAGAAAAUGCUAAACUCUCACUUUUGCAGGCUUAUAAACUACAUAUCACUUCGUCGUAUAAAAUCAACUCAUCAUUUUCCAAUUUUUAUGCGCCCAAACAAUUCCUUAAUCCUUUUCUUACACACUCACACUCUCUACUUCUAGCUUAAACCCAACCCUUACUUUCUACAAUGGAUGUUUUCUCUCAGUACUCUGACUCACUCCCUUUUGCCUCUCAUUCUUGGUCGCCUGAUACCUGCAGUGCUGCAAACUUUUCCGAUGAGGACAUCUUGCUAGCUUCCAGCUAUCCCAAGAAGCGGGCAGGCCGAAAGAAGUUCCGGGAGACGCGCCAUCCUGUUUACCGUGGGGUCCGCCAGAGGAACUCCGGGAAGUGGGUUUGUGAAGUUAGAGAACCGAACAAGAAAUCAAGAAUAUGGUUAGGGACUUUCCCCACGGCUGAAAUGGCUGCCCGAGCUCACGACGUGGCUGCGCUAGCUCUGAGAGGACGAUCUGCCUGCUUGAAUUUUGCGGACUCGUCAUGGCGACUUCCUGUACCUGCAUCCAGUGAAGCGAAGGACAUUCAGAAGGCGGCAGCAGAGGCAGCAAUGGCAUUCCAACCGGUGGGGACAGAAGGGUUUUGUGAAGAAGUAAAACUAGAAAAUAAGACAACGACGGAGGCAGCUACAGAGGAAGUAUUUUAUAUGGAUGAAGAGGCGGUUUUUGGGAUGCCAGGACUACUGGCAUAUAUGGCAGAAGGGAUGCUAUUGCCUCCACCGCAAUGCGUUGCACAGAGCGGGGAAGACAUAGAAACGGAUGCAGCUGAUGUGCCAUUAUGGAGUUUUUCUGUAUAAUUUAUUAAGAAAAUAAACUUAGUGUUUUAUUAGAUAUAGUAUAUACAAAUGUAGCUUGAUAUUCAGUGCAUCACUAAGGUCGAGUGUAUUUGGUGCUAGCUUCAUUGUAAACCCAUAAAAAGCAAAAAAGAAAAAAAAAAAAAGAGAAAAUCCUCCGUACUUAAUAUUUUUUACUAGUACGGUAAGAAAUGGAAAGGUUGAAUUUGACAAAAGGGCGAACUUGUGUGUUAAGAUUGAAAAUGUAACACUUCAGUUUAAAUUGAUGAAAAUAAUUUUUAAAUUUAUUUUUUAUUUAAUUUAAAUUAUUUAAUAAAUUUUUAACUAAUUAAUAUAUACAAUUUCAAAUUUUUUAAGAAAUCAAUGUGGAUGUUUCAUAAAAAGACGUUAUCGAGGAGGUUUAGUGUUUAGUCAUGUGGGCAUGAUAUGCCGUGAGUACAUUACCGAUGGAGCUUUGUACUUCGCUGGUAAUUAUGAUCCAUAUCUUAAUGUGGAUGUACAUAUAAUAAUCAUGCGUGGAAGUUUGUCUGGCGGCUAAAGCGCACUCAUUUGUCUGUAAUAUUUGAUCUCCUUUCCAAAAAAGACAGUAGGGUCGAUCCCUUAUUUCCGAAUACUUCGGAAGCUUGGCUCUAUUUCCUUCUGCUCUUUUUUGAUCCCGUGCCUGCAAUUUGGAGCAACCAAAUUUUGCACGCCGCUUCCGAGACAAUUUUGGGAGAUGAUGGGCUAAAACUACAAGCAUUCGGAUUAUCCUAUAAUUAACGGAUGUAGCUGUGUUCAAUUCAAUCCAUGUGAUUCAAUAAUCACACAGUAGAAACAUAUUCGACAAUUCAAAUUCUUCAGCCCAGUUUCAUCAUAUGGAGAAGAAAAUCUCAAAACCUGAGUUUCAUUAAAGAUCGUAUACCACAUUUUCAUUUUCAAUGGAAAUAAUAGAUCAACACUAAAUUAAAUACUAAGUGAAAGGAUCAGCCGCGGUAAGCAUGAGGGACAAAUGCAUGCACGGGAAAACAACGCCUUUUGGUUGUUCGAGGCAUAUUUGAGCCUGCAAUGUGCUUGACAAAAAUCAAAAUCUAUUUGGAGAAUUGGGUAGACGAAUGUGUUAUAGAAUGCUAUUUGAUUUUCUUCAGGAGACUUGAAGUACUAAACUUCGCAUCAUCCCUGACAAAGCUCCACAACCAAAGACCGUGAGCAUCAACAAAUCCGUGAUAUGGUGGGAAGUCGUAUGGUAUCCAAGAGCAUAGCGAGACCUCCACCCACAACCACCAUCCACAACUUGCACCGGGAUGCAUGAUGAGUAACACUUGCCCAAAUAAGCAGCUGAGUUAAACCCAUAGCCCCACAUACUUUCAUAUUUAGGCCUGCAAAAGAAUCGACCAAUGUAAAACCAUAUCACAAGAGAGGCACACGUGCAGUAACAACUAAGCAUUUGCAACUUCUCUCAAUAUUUUUCUUUUAUUCUAAUUUAAUUUUAAGUUUUUGAAGGGGGAAAGGGUGUGAGGAUGUUUGACUUACGCAUGCUUUAUUGUAUUCCCCCAUUUUGCAGAAACUUCAACUUGUCCAUGAACAAAAAAAUUCCUUGCUUCUUUGUGAUCACCGAAUAAGAUACUGAAUGGGCAUUAUAGAUCCCCUAUAUUAGAUAACUCAGUUAAAGCAAUCUUAGAAAAUUGGGAAUUUCAAGUUAUAGAUUAUAUUUGUUAUACAAAGUACAGAAACAGUAAUUGCAUGUGAUGUGCAUACGAGACAAACCAAGUCUAAAUCAGACAACAGGGAUAAAGACAGAAUAGCAAGAAAAUUAGCAGCGCAGUUCAAAAUAGCUGAAGGAAAAACAGAUUUGAUUAAACACAUUUUUAACAGUAGCAUUCUAAUGGAACUCCAGAAUAGUCUAAGGUAGAUUUUGAGGCAUCACACGACAUGAAAAUUACUAGAGAAAUAAUUACCACAGUCAAGAUCAUAGACGUUCAGAUACAUAAUAUGUGUUGCAAGAGAUGCAAUUAAAGGAGCUGCAACCAUGAUACUUGCAGCCUCAAUUCUCACGUUGAAAGCUUGCAGUAUCACUAAAAUUAGGGUAGUUGCAAGUAAAGACAGCAGAGGAAUAUUCUAGCUUCUCUGUCAACUCAAAAUCUCUGCAAUUAAUUAACUUAGAAAAUGACAUAGAAGGCACUAGCAAAAGAUGAAAAAUAUAAUAAAAAGAUAUGUGUGUAUGCAGAGGCCACUGCUUACUGCAGUGCUACAAGUUAGAGCUUCCAAUUGUAGGAGAGAAAUUUGAAGUCCUCAGAGCAGUAACUUAAAGUCUUAAACGUAAAAAUGAUAUUGCAUGAGUGUGCUAAAAUUUUCCACUCAGAACCCUGUUUUAAGACCAUAACGGGAUAAUGACCUCUACUUCUGUAGAUGUACAGUUAAUGUAUUUGUAACUAUAAGUGCACAUAUUAUAUAAGAAAAAUUAUGUGCAUUUAUCAUUUUAUAUACUAGAGUUGUAAGUUUAAAUAAACGCUUGAUCCUCUCCAGAAGAAUGUCACCAAUCACAACUAUGAUGAACAGUCAAGCAGGGUCAAAAUCCGUUUCUCCUAACUUAUUGUCCAUCAUAACAUUCAAUAUCAUGGAUAGCAGAGCCAACAUUCAUUUCUAUUAACUCUCUCCACUAUAACGUUUUUCAUUUGGAUAGAGGACAUCAAAAUUGGUCAUUUGGUUGUUAGGUGUGGAAGCAUUAUACAAUGUAAACCAAAUUCUUGAAAAUUCAAGAACAUAACCAUUACUGGUAAGGCAUUAUCUUGUCAUGAUGUCGGGAAGAAAAUUUACCCCUUCCAAUUUUUGUCUACUAAUACAGCUUACCGACUGUGGAAAGCACUCCAAAACCAAGAAUUCAUUGAUAGGAUCUCAUAGACAUGCCACAAGCCAGUAAAUUCAAAAUGUCUACUUAUUUGGCCACAACAGCAGCAUUUACUAUAUAAGGAUGAAAAAGGACACAAAACCAUGAAACUGAAUGGCGAUAGGUAAAGCAGAGACAGCAACAGAAACAGGUUCCUGAGAAGCACAAACACAUUUACUUGAAAUAAUUGGGUAAUGUAUUCAAUUAUAUUGAAACAGGCCGACCCAAACUGAACCAAAUAACUUUUAACCCAAAUUAUUUAGUAGGUUUGUACUAGUUAUUAUAUACAAUUCCAAUUUUUCAUGAUCUUCCGAUGUGGGAUGGCUUCCGCACCGGAAACAGGCAGCUGACCAUUACACUCGGUCCCGCUAAAUUUACGAUGUCCUCGUUGCAACUAAAUCGGUUACAAUUACUAACCUCGUCUUUUACGGGUAACCCUUUCCUCGCAGGUCCACUAGCUCUGCACAAUUUGUCUGACCCAGGUGGCAGGUGUUGGAAAGAAUCCUCUGCCAUGAUUGUAAAUCAAUCAGUGUUGGAAAGAAUCCUCUGCCAUGAUUGUAAAUCAAUCAGUGAUCAAAUCUUACCAUGUUUAGUAUAGCACGAUUCUAGGACAUAAUUGAGGGCACAAUCAAAGGUCUAAUUGUUCAUAUUAUGUACUAUAUAAACUCUGUAACUUACUACACAAGAGGUAAGAAAAUAGAAGCAAAUUUCUUCCUAUAAUCUCAAUAUGGUAUCAGAGCGGGUUCCGAUCCUGGAAUUAUAGCCGUCCUGCAACCAUCCGUUACCAGAUAUUUUUCCCGACCUUCUCUCACUAAACCAACCUACCAGAUACCUUUCCCAACUUCUUUCUCUCACCGAAACAACAAUGGCCGACCACCCCAGCCCGGCUGACCAAUCCCAGGCAAUAAUUGAUCCAAUAGCAGACUNNNNNNNNNNNNNNNNNNNNNNNNNNNNNNNNNNNNNNNNNNNNNNNNNNNNNNNNNNNNNNNNNNNNNNNNNNNNNNNNNNNNNNNNNNNNNNNNNNNNNNNNNNNNNNNNNNNNNNNNNNNNNNNNNNNNNNNNNNNNNNNNNNNNNNNNNNNNNNNNNNNNNNNNNNNNNNNNNNNNNNNNNNNNNNNNNNNNNNNNNNNNNNNNNNNNNNNNNNNNNNNNNNNNNNNNNNNNNNNNNNNNNNNNNNNNNNNNNNNNNNNNNNNNNNNNNNNNNNNNNNNNNNNNNNNNNNNNNNNNNNNNNNNNNNNNNNNNNNNNNNNNNNNNNNNNNNNNNNNNNNNNNNNNNNNNNNNNNNNNNNNNNNNNNNNNNNNNNNNNNNNNNNNNNNNNNNNNNNNNNNNNNNNNNNNNNNNNNNNNNNNNNNNNNNNNNNNNNNNNNNNNNNNNNNNNNNNNNNNNNNNNNNNNNNNNNNNNNNNNNNNNNNNNNNNNNNNNNNNNNNNNNNNNNNNNNNNNNNNNNNNNNNNNNNNNNNNNNNNNNNNNNNNNNNNNNNNNNNNNNNNNNNNNNNNNNNNNNNNNNNNNNNNNNNNNNNNNNNNNNNNNNNNNNNNNNNNNNNNNNNNNNNNNNNNNNNNNNNNNNNNNNNNNNNNNNNNNNNNNNNNNNNNNNNNNNNNNNNNNNNNNNNNNNNNNNNNNNNNNNNNNNNNNNNNNNNNNNNNNNNNNNNNNNNNNNNNNNNNNNNNNNNNNNNNNNNNNNNNNNNNNNNNNNNNNNNNNNNNNNNNNNNNNNNNNNNNNNNNNNNNNNNNNNNNNNNNNNNNNNNNNNNNNNNNNNNNNNNNNNNNNNNNNNNNNNNNNNNNNNNNNNNNNNNNNNNNNNNNNNNNNNNNNNNNNNNNNNNNNNNNNNNNNNNNNNNNNNNNNNNNNNNNNNNNNNNNNNNNNNNNNNNNNNNNNNNNNNNNNNNNNNNNNNNNNNNNNNNNNNNNNNNNNNNNNNNNNNNNNNNNNNNNNNNNNNNNNNNNNNNNNNNNNNNNNNNNNNNNNNNNNNNNNNNNNNNNNNNNNNNNNNNNNNNNNNNNNNNNNNNNNNNNNNNNNNNNNNNNNNNNNNNNNNNNNNNNNNNNNNNNNNNNNNNNNNNNNNNNNNNNNNNNNNNNNNNNNNNNNNNNNNNNNNNNNNNNNNNNNNNNNNNNNNNNNNNNNNNNNNNNNNNNNNNNNNNNNNNNNNNNNNNNNNNNNNNNNNNNNNNNNNNNNNNNNNNNNNNNNNNNNNNNNNNNNNNNNNNNNNNNNNNNNNNNNNNNNNNNNNNNNNNNNNNNNNNNNNNNNNNNNNNNNNNNNNNNNNNNNNNNNNNNNNNNNNNNNNNNNNNNNNNNNNNNNNNNNNNNNNNNNNNNNNNNNNNNNNNNNNNNNNNNNNNNNNNNNNNNNNNNNNNNNNNNNNNNNNNNNNNNNNNNNNNNNNNNNNNNNNNNNNNNNNNNNNNNNNNNNNNNNNNNNNNNNNNNNNNNNNNNNNNNNNNNNNNNNNNNNNNNNNNNNNNNNNNNNNNNNNNNNNNNNNNNNNNNNNNNNNNNNNNNNNNNNNNNNNNNNNNNNNNNNNNNNNNNNNNNNNNNNNNNNNNNNNNNNNNNNNNNNNNNNNNNNNNNNNNNNNNNNNNNNNNNNNNNNNNNNNNNNNNNNNNNNNNNNNNNNNNNNNNNNNNNNNNNNNNNNNNNNNNNNNNNNNNNNNNNNNNNNNNNNNNNNNNNNNNNNNNNNNNNNNNNNNNNNNNNNNNNNNNNNNNNNNNNNNNNNNNNNNNNNNNNNNNNNNNNNNNNNNNNNNNNNNNNNNNNNNNNNNNNNNNNNNNNNNNNNNNNNNNNNNNNNNNNNNNNNNNNNNNNNNNNNNNNNNNNNNNNNNNNNNNNNNNNNNNNNNNNNNNNNNNNNNNNNNNNNNNNNNNNNNNNNNNNNNNNNNNNNNNNNNNNNNNNNNNNNNNNNNNNNNNNNNNNNNNNNNNNNNNNNNNNNNNNNNNNNNNNNNNNNNNNNNNNNNNNNNNNNNNNNNNNNNNNNNNNNNNNNNNNNNNNNNNNNNNNNNNNNNNNNNNNNNNNNNNNNNNNNNNNNNNNNNNNNNNNNNNNNNNNNNNNNNNNNNNNNNNNNNNNNNNNNNNNNNNNNNNNNNNNNNNNNNNNNNNNNNNNNNNNNNNNNNNNNNNNNNNNNNNNNNNNNNNNNNNNNNNNNNNNNNNNNNNNNNNNNNNNNNNNNNNNNNNNNNNNNNNNNNNNNNNNNNNNNNNNNNNNNNNNNNNNNNNNNNNNNNNNNNNNNNNNNNNNNNNNNNNNNNNNNNNNNNNNNNNNNNNNNNNNNNNNNNNNNNNNNNNNNNNNNNNNNNNNNNNNNNNNNNNNNNNNNNNNNNNNNNNNNNNNNNNNNNNNNNNNNNNNNNNNNNNNNNNNNNNNNNNNNNNNNNNNNNNNNNNNNNNNNNNNNNNNNNNNNNNNNNNNNNNNNNNNNNNNNNNNNNNNNNNNNNNNNNNNNNNNNNNNNNNNNNNNNNNNNNNNNNNNNNNNNNNNNNNNNNNNNNNNNNNNNNNNNNNNNNNNNNNNNNNNNNNNNNNNNNNNNNNNNNNNNNNNNNNNNNNNNNNNNNNNNNNNNNNNNNNNNNNNNNNNNNNNNNNNNNNNNNNNNNNNNNNNNNNNNNNNNNNNNNNNNNNNNNNNNNNNNNNNNNNNNNNNNNNNNNNNNNNNNNNNNNNNNNNNNNNNNNNNNNNNNNNNNNNNNNNNNNNNNNNNNNNNNNNNNNNNNNNNNNNNNNNNNNNNNNNNNNNNNNNNNNNNNNNNNNNNNNNNNNNNNNNNNNNNNNNNNNNNNNNNNNNNNNNNNNNNNNNNNNNNNNNNNNNNNNNNNNNNNNNNNNNNNNNNNNNNNGUUUGUUCAAUCAAAGGAUCAAUGGGCGGACAUCCUAACCAAAGCAGUAGCUGGACGAAUAUUCCAUGAGGUUUUGGGCAAGUUGGGUAUGCUAGAUCCACAUGAACCAACUUGAGGGGGAGUGUUGGAAAGAAUCCUCUGCCAUGAUUGUAAAUCAAUCAGUGUUGGAAAGAAUCCUCUGCCAUUAUUGUAAAUCAAUCAGUGAUCAAAUCUUACCAUGUUUAGUAUAGCACGAUUCUAGGACAUAAUUGAGGGCACAAUCAAAGGUCUAAUUGUUCAUAUUAUGUACUAUAUAAACUCUGUAACUUACUACACAAGAGGUAAGAAAAUAGAAGCAAAUUUCUUCCUAUAAUCUCAAUAGCAGGGUGGCUCUGAUACCAAUUGAAACAGCCGAACCCAAACUGACCCAAAUAACUUUUGGAUCAACUUUCCAUUUGGCUCAAAAUAGUUAGCCCAAGUUAUUUAGUAGUUUCGUGCUAGCUAUUAUAUACAAUUCCAAUUCUCCAUCAUCUUCCGAUGUGGGACAGUUUCCGCAUCGGAAGCAGGCAGCUGCCAAACUAGCCCAAAUAACUUUUGGACCCACUUUUCACUCGGUACAAAAUGGUUAAUCCAAAUUAUUUAGUAGUUUCGUGAUAGCUAUUAUAUACAAUUCCAAUUUUUCAUCAUCUUCCGCACUGCAAGCAGGCUGACCGUUACACUCGGUCCCGCUAAAUUUGUGACGUUCUCAUCACAACUGAAUCGAUUACAAUUGCUAACCAGGACCGGACCCUCGGGUAUUGUGGUUCGCUAGUAUCUCGGGCGGCUCCACUUCGUCUCUCACGGGUAGCCCUUUCCUUGCAAGCCCACUAGCUCCACAUAAUUUGUCUGACCCAAGGUGGCUCUGAUACCAAUUGAAACAGCCGGACCCAAACUAGCCCAAAUAACUUUUGGACCCACUUUCCAUUGGGCCCAAAAUGGUUAACCCAAGUUAUUUAGUAGUUUGCGCUAGCUAUUAUAUAUAAUUCCAAUUUUCCAUCAUCUUCCGCACCGGAAGCAGGCAACUGACCGUUACACUCGGUCCACUAAAUUUGCGACGUCUUCAUCGCAAUUAAAUCAGUUACAAUUGCUAACCAAGACCGAACCUUCGGAUAUUGUGGUUCGCUAGUACUUUAGGCGGCUCCACCUCGUCUCUCACGGGUAGCCCUUUCCUCACAGGCCCACUAGCUCUGCACAAGCAGGCAGCUGACUGUUACACUCGGUCCCGCUAAAUUUGCGACGUCUUCAUCGCAACUGAAUCGGUUAUAAUUGCCAACCAAGACCGAACCCUCGGAUAUUGUGGUUCGCUAGUACCUCAGGGCUCCACCUCGUCCCUCACGGGUAGCCCUUUCCUCGCAGGCCCACUCGCUCCGCACAAUUUGUCUGACCCAGAGUGACUCUGAUAUCAAUUGAAACAGUCGGGUCCAAACUAGCCCAAAUAACUUUUGGGCCCACUUUACACUUGGCCUAAAAUGAUUAGCUCAAAUUAUUUAGUAGUUUCGUGUUAACUAUUAUAUACAAUUCUAAUUUUCUAUCAAUCUUUCGAUGCGGUACGGCUUCCGCAUCGAAAGCAGCCAGCUGACCGUUAUGUUGUGGGGUACAUUGAUAAAAUAAUGACUUCAAAAAUUAUAAAUAUAAACCUGAAUUCCAUAAACACAUUGAGAUGCCCAUUCCCACGAUACAUGAUAGGCUUAUCACCAAGUUCCUGUCUUCUUCCAGCAACCAAGCAAUUGUAUGGACAACCACUGUGACAGUCCCACUGUUUCCAUUGCAGAUAGAGUGGUUCUUGAAGAUACCAUGGUCCAUCAAUAGGUUUUGCAUUAGAUAAGAAUUGACAAUGUUGGAAGGAUUUCUGACCCACACAUCCAGUUUUGUAACACUGCUCCAUGCCUAUAAACGAGUAACCAUUAAAAUGAUAGAAUAAUAACAGGUAACAAAAUCAAACAGCUAUGAUCAGAACCAAUAACAUCUCCUAAAUUAGUCAAUCGUCUAACACACCCUUGCUAAGUGGUUAUUUCAUCAUUACUCCCAAAAGGAAUAGCUAAAAACAGUUGAUUUGUCAAUCCACAAGCAAAGCUUCAAGCUUUGAAUUUCUACUAGAUUAAACUAAUCUCCUGGUUGUAUGGCCAUUCAACGACAAUGCAUUAAAACUAAGGGUUUCUAUAAAGUGAAACUAUCCAGAAAAAUCUGAUAACAAGAUUUCUUCCCCAUAUUAAAUACAGAAACCACGAACUUCAACGGAAUCUACAUAAGAAGCCACAACCAAGUCAACUGAAAUGCCUAAAUUUCUCGAUUCACAGACUGUCCGUCAACUUCAUGUUCCAGCCCAUCUACAUUCACAUUUUAUAAUUCAAAUUCGUAAUUAAUUCUCACGGUUUACAUUUACGCACAAAUCAAACUAGUGAGCCUUUCUAAUCCACCAACUUAAAAAAAGACAGCUAAAUUUAGCAGGCAUUUCCUUUCCACGUCUAUUUUUUAGGUAAUUUAAGAACUUGUGUUUACACCAGAAAUGCAGGAAGACAAUGUUCAAUUCGUCAAUCAAACAGUAGCAUCCUUCUAAAACUUAACUUACAUUCCAAAAAGCGUAUUAAGCUUUAAUUACGGAUGCAAAUACAUCAAAUUUAGAACCAAAAAGAUCACAAAAAAGUGGGGAAAACGACAUGAAAACGGGAAACCAAAGAUGAAGUAAGAAAAAGAGAGCUAGUUUACUUGUAAAGCGGAUCAGCAUCACCAGCACUAGCGUCAAGCGCACGGACUAAACAGACGAGCGAAAAAGAAAGCACAAUCCAAUGAUACACAGCCAUCCGAUUCAUUAAAAAAUAAACGGUAGCCACGGAGCUUCGGAUCAGGAUGUCAUGGAUAGGCUUCCAUGGAAUCAUAAAGACAAGAAAACAGACUAGGAUGAGGGUGUCAGCGCGAGCAAGUUUGAGUUGGAAUCAAAUAAGCGGAGCACAUGAGCUAGUAUCGAGUCGAUCUAUAUUUGGACUCGGGCACUCGGCACGACGGCACAGUUGGCGUGGGGGAUAGACAAGCGGACAGAAGAGGAGGGGACGAAAAACGAGCUACGGAUUAUCGAUGGCUGAUCGGGCUGACACCAGACUUUCGUGACAAGUUGAUCCUUGGGGCGAUUCACGAGGAGACACGUAGAUGUAUUUUCUUGUGAUUGAUUUACCGAAAUGCGCAGCAGUGACUAUUCAAUAGUCUUCGUCCCUUUGAAAUGUACAUACUCUCGUAAUUUUCGUUCGUCUCUGCCUUUUUAAGUGUCUUUAAAAUAUUGUUUGUUUUUUCUUACGGUAAUUAUAUUUUUUUUAAUUUUAAUUUAUUUUUUUUAAAAAAAUUUCAAAAUAUUUUUUUAAUUUGAAUAAAAUUUAAUAUUUUUAUUAACAAUUUAAUAUUAAUUAUUAUUUUCUCUUUUUUAAUUGAAUUAAUUAUUAAACCCUUCCACUAAUAGCACGAAAAGUGCUGCUCUAACCAGUUUCACUCUUUCUGCCAAUCAUGUCUUUUCCCGCCAUUUUCACUAUCUUCUGUGAGGUGAUGGAGCUCCAAAAUCUCACAAUUUCGUGCUCUUGCAUGUCCGGGUACCGAUUUUUAUGGAGCCCGAAGAAAAGGCCGCGGCGAGGAAUAGUAGUCAUGGAAAUUCAUAAGUUGGGGCUUUUGCUUGAGCAUAAGCUGAGGCUUGGGGUUUCGCUUCUUAUCUCGUUUGUUGCAAUAUUUGUACCUUUUCGACGCCCUUAUUUGACGGUACGAUUUAAAAGUUGAAAACUGGUGUUAUUACUCUCUUGUUUAUUAUGCUAAUCAGCAGAAUAUCGUGUAAUGUUUUAAUUACUUUACUAUUGCUUUAAUUUAGUCCUUCUUUGGUGCCACCCCGAUAUUUUGAAGUGCUUAUAGGCGUAAGGCCAGACUCUCGGUGGAGGCUGCUUGGCAAGGUUGGAUUUUUAACUCUCGGUGGAGGCUGCUUGGCAAGGUUGGAUUUUUAAAGUCAUUGGAACCAAUUUUUCUCUGUGAUUUCACUGUUGGAGAUAAGAUGCUAAAAGCUCAUAUUUUCAGAUGGGUUUUGAUUCCGAAGGUAGAAGCUUAUUGAGUGAAUUAAUUAACUUUCUGAACAUGGUAAUCUAAAGUUAAAUGCUUUUUUGGCAUGUGUUCUUGUUUCUUUUUGGGUUUAUGCUGGCAGAGUUUUUAAUUGAUAUAAGGUUUUCUCCGUUAAUUGCGAACUUAAGAGUAGUAUUUCUUAAGAACUUGCGUACCAGUACAUGAUUGACAUUGAGUUAAGGCCUUUGGGAUUAUUAAUCUUUUGCAGGUCGGUGAACUUAGUGCUUUAUGACAUCUGAUUUGGAAUCUAUUAUAGAUGAAAGGGAUUGCUGGUUUAAGGUACUUCUUUUUUUUUUUUUCAAGGUAAGCCAUUCUAUUCUGGAGCAAAAGUGAGCUUUAUAUUGGGGACUCAUGUUGCUAAUGGUCUCUGUUCAGGUGGCAUUCACAUACCUGAAAAAAUGUUGCCCCGUAUUGAUACAAUAAGAUUACUUUUCAUAUGUCUACCUAUGAGAUUUCCAUCUAUGAUUCUACUGCCGGAAGCUGCUGAUGUCUUGGAUAUAUGCAUAUUUUUUGCUCUUGCCCCAACUGGCAUCAAUGCUGGACUUGCAGAUUCUGAGUUUGUCUGUUUUAGUUGGUUUAGUAUUUCGUCUUAUAUCACUUCUUCUACUGUCUUUAUUCUGUAUCUAAUAUAGUCUACACAAUGAUAAAUUAUCUUAUAAAUGUUUUUGAUUGAUAAUUUUAGCAUUCUAAUUUGACUACUAUAUAUUUGUUGUCACAUUGUACACAUGCUGGAGCCUCAUAAAUUUCAGGGUGUAGCAAGGCCUAUAGUAUAUGUUCAUUAUUUCUCCUAUUGUCAUCAUUUCACAAACAUUUAUCGAGUAACCAAACUGGAUUACCUUGUUUAUACUCCAACUAGGUUGUCAGUUAACCAGUUACCCCGCUGGUUCAUGCCAGUUCACUCUGAAUUCUAAAGAAGGGUUUGGAUUGUUAAACUGUACUAGACCGCGCUCUGAUUCUUGAUUAACCGUGUCCAAUCCGGGAUUAACAACACUAUCCAGUUGUUCUCUUGCCAAACUGGCUCUUGGAAGGAAGAAAUGGGAGACGGCUACUUUCAGUUCUUUGGUCUAUAUUCCUUGAUGUUUUGGGAAAUUCAUUCAUUUUAUACUUUUUUCGUUGACUUGUCUAGAAUUUUGUAGCAUUACCUUGAAAGCAAAAGGGGGCACAUAUGAUGCUCUGCUUAAUGAUUUUUCUUCAAGAUAGAUUUUCUAUUUUUGUUUCUUCCUGCCUUGUUUCAUUUAAUGUUCACUUUUCAUCUAUUCUAAUUAUCUGAGCAAGUUUGAUAAUUUUGGAUAACUUCGUAACAAUAUGCAAGACAAUUGAAACAUGGAGUGACCACUGCCUUCUCUUGCUCUGUGCAGAGACACUAAUGAGUACCAUUUAAACAAGUGGAAACCAAGCAAUAUUUUCUUUCUUUUUGCUAAAUUACAGUUCAUAGGUGUGUAUAUAUAUAUUUAGUACAUGAUGCUGCCCAAUGUGCCGUUGAAGCCAAAAAUUUGUGAAACAAUACUACUUUAUUGAUAGUUAUCAAUUUCUAGACAACUGGUGUUUCUUUAUUUAAAUGUUAAUUUAUAACAAGAUAUGAAUUCUGUAAAGCCUUUUAUUUAUAAUAGAUAAUUGUUUUGCCAUUUUAUCUUUAAUCUAAGAUAAGCAUGUGAAUCAACAUUGUACCUAGAUGUUAUUGAUGCUGAGAUGCUACAGGACAUUUUAUUCUUCUAUAUUUUUUCUUCAUAACAGGCUUUAUGUCUUUGCAAGUAUUGAGAGGGAGAUUUCUUGCAUCAUCGAGAAGUAGGAAAGGAAAUUUCAGCUUUGAGGUUGGCAAGGCAUUCAGUAGGAAGACCAAGGAAGGUGUUCAUGAAAACAUCAUCAAUUGGUUGGACAGUUGCCACCCCAACCAAUCUGCAUUUCCCUUCUCUAUCCAACCUUUCUCCUCGUCCACUGCGUAUCACUCCAUUUGAUUCUUCUGAUGUCAAUACUGUCUUCACUAGCAGGGGAGGAGCUUUGUAGAUAUUCCCAACAGAAAACCAGAACUUGGCCAUGAACUCAAGAUCAACCUACAAAACAUGGACAGCAAAAGUCGGCAUUAAUUGGCGGGCUUCUGGAAUCCAAGAAUAGUGGAUUAGCAAGUAGCAGUAACAUAUAUAUCUUGCGGUUUCAAUCUGUUCUGCAUAAGGAUGUUGUUUUUGAAUUUAGCAUAUCAGAAUGAUUCCGGUGGUGUCAUGGAAGGUGCUCACUUUAUGUAACUUCCUCAAAGAAGAAGCCUUGGGAAUGAAGCUGAGUAUCAGAAUUUACCUUACCAGAAUCUCGUUCAAUCCUUCCUUGAAAGAGUUCAGGCACCACAUCAAUCUUCAAACCUGGUGGCAAUGGCAAUCCAAGAAACCUAGUAGUUGCACUUGUUAGUGGUGGAAUAUACAGAGUUUCCAAGUCAAACGAAACUGAAAUCUCAUCUUUCAGGUCACCCUUUUUAAUUCUGGUAGCAGUCCCAGAUCCUGUUCCUCCUUGAGCAUCGUAUUCAAAGUCAGGAUAUCUUGAGAUGCCAAGCUUGCAAGCUUCCAAAGUUUUGAAAUCAACAGUGUAAGUAUCAGUUUUUGGGAGUGUGGUGGUAGAAAUGGAACCCUGUUGGUUGGGAAUAGAAGAUAAUGCAAUGGUUUUAAUUCUAAGAGCUGGUUUCCUUGUAGAAAAUUUGCACAGGAUUGGGGGAUUUGAAGUGUGUAUCCUGCAACCCAUUUUCUGAAAAGUUGGCUUUCGAGUUCUACCCAAAUGCAGAGGAAGAGGAAUCGAGCUUUUGGCACUAGACUUGGGGUAUUAGAUGAGGCUCUGCUUCCAGUCUUUCAGAAAUCGUACACAUGAUGAGAGGCUGGUAUGUCUUCUGAAUUUGGUCCUUAUCUUCAUAUUUGGGGUGAUUUUACUACUGUGGCGUAUUGGCCGUGAAGAAAAGAAAAUUUAUAGUUAUUCCAAAAAUUGGCAAUUUUUAGUGGAAGGCUAUUUCCCAAAAUUUGUUAUCAUUGCGGUCUCGUACAUGUAAUUAUAUCGUUUUUCACUAAAUAAUCCUCAUAAUUAUUUGCCCUUCCACACUGCUGUUCUCCUACUCCCUCUCCAUAAUCCAAAAAUAUACCUCUAUUAUUAUUUGCUUUUCAAUGAAGUUAAUGGAAUUAAUUUAACAUUUAAGCAAUAAAAUUAUAUUUUUUUCAAAGUUCAUUAUGAAUAUAGAGAUAAAAAUAUAUUGAUAUAUUAAAAUAAAGAUUAAAAAGAAAAGGAAAGUUUUGAAGAGUGAAUAAGGAAAAUAAAAACGACAAAGAAAUUCACCAAAAUUGGAAAUUUUAAAUAUGAAAAAUUAGGUCUAUUUUUUUUAAGAAAAAUGUGUGGAUUUGAGAAAGAAGAGAAUUUAAAAUUUUUAAUUUUUUUUAAAAAAAAAAGAGGCAACAUUUUUUAAUUAAUUAUUUCAAAAUUCAUUAUGAAAUACAAAUAAUAAGUAAACACUUUUAUUUAGUCCUUUCAAAAUUUAGGUUUCGAUUAAAAUAAAAUUUUAUUAUUUGAAUAUAAUUAGGUGAAAAUUAGUAAGAUACGAAAAGUUUUAAAUUUAAAUGUAACAAUUUAAAUUUAAAUCUAAAUACACCAUAUGUACAGAAAAAAAAAAAAAAAAGAAAAGAAAAGAGUAGAAAAGAGAAUUUCCGUAAAUAGAUUAAAGAUUUGGCUACUCGCCAAGAGCCAUACACCGGAGUUAUUAUUAUUACUUUCUAACAAAGAAAUUGGCGCUUGUUGCGUCUGAAAUUCUACUACCACUUAUGCAGAGUGUACCAUCCACAUGACACGAGUUCACUUCUUACAGCGCCCCCUUGGAAUCGGGCACGUUUACCAACAGCCAACACGUGUUUUCAGACUUCAAUAAUCAAUCCCCAUGUCGUGGAGGCAUCGUGUUUGUCAAAUAGUUAAUGAAAGAGAAAACUCAUCCUCCAUGGCAGCCCAAGUGCCUCACCGUCAAAUCCAUGAUGGGAUAGCCAAGCAAUUUUCAUCCAAAAUAUGUAUUUAUACCGAAUUAAAAUUAAAGUUAAUUGAACAUUUAAAUCAAUUAGUCAUGUCAUGGAUAAAGGCCCCUCUCCACCCUUUUCGAUUUCUCACUAAUCCACAUGAGAACUCUAUUCAUUUGAAAUGCUAAAUUAAAAUUCAAGUAGCUCAGUUUUACAAGAGAGAGAAUGAGAUUUCAAAUAACACGGAUAAAAGUGUGAAAGAAGAUUUACAAUUUUUAAAUAUUAAUGCAAUAUAAUCAAUUUUAAUUAGUUUAAAAAUAGAAAUCUUAAUAUUAAUUAUUAAAGCUCAAGAACAGAAAAGAUGCGUGUUAACCAUCAUGAAAAUUCAGUCUUAGAUACAAGGCAGAAGCCUAUGACUAGCAACUUGUUGCUCUUCCAACCUAGUAGUGCAUAAACUGAAGAGGACAAAAAUAUAUACACUCAAAUCACACCACCCUUUGAAGCUUGCCUAGGACUUGCCAUCAUGAUUCAGCACAACAGGGCAAACAAAACACAUUGGCUUGUAGAAACAAGUGUGGGCAUGCCAUUUUCCUCCAUCUCAGUCAUCCAUCAGAGAGCCUCCAGUUUCAUUCUGUACUCUAGCUUCAGGUUGCCAGCCAGCCAGCCCUCUCUUUCAAGUUUCAACAGACAAGAGAAGAGCAGUUGGAAGAUGCAUGCAUGAUGCCCGUCGGAUAACUGACUCGCUCACCAUCAAAUCGAGUUGCUCGCCCUCACCAAGACCAAUUGUACGGUUCCUCUUACUGUGCGUGCCCAUCCUGGACUCUAUGGCUCCUCCUGACCUCUUAGCGUCCGCUGGCUUCUGUUCCAUUUCUCUAGCCUCAUGUGCGCAGAAUAUAGAAGAUUCAGGCAACAUGAGCAUCUUUUCCAGGCUGACCUCUGCAUGAUAGAAUGUUAAAAGAUUUAAUUCUAUAACAUCAUUAUAAAUAAGCUGUCAAAUAAAUGAAAAUAGCUCACCUCCAUAGCUAGCAUUCAAACUGGAAAUAUUGUUUGAGAAAUCCAAUGCACAACUCCCUUGCUUCGUCACAGGGCUAUGGCUAAAGAAAGCAAAGCUUGGCAUUGAUCCUACAGGGGAAGGAAAUUCCAAGGCAUCAGAAUUGCCACCGUUAUGGAAAGAAAGCUGACCAGAUACAGAGGAAGGUGUUGAAGGUUCCGCAUGGAAAGAAGAAAAUGAUGAUCUGCAUGUGAAAGUAGGUGAUUCUGUAUCACAAACAAACGGUGAUCCAGUGCCAAUGCUGAUGUCCUGAUUCCUGGCCAUCAAUGUAGAGAAAGAGCCACCACCUAAAUCCCAUUCUUCACAACUUUGCUUUUCAAAAUGACUAGGUUGUACAGGACAUAUUGCAUCAUCCUUCAUCCAGGAAUGAUCUGCAAAAAUAAUUAAGUUUAGGCAAGUCUUUGGAAAGAGGCUCAGUUAUCUUGUAGCAGGUAAGAAAGGAUACACUCAUGCAGAUUAGCUCAUUAGAAAAACAUAGUGGUGAAAAUUUCUUGACUGCAGGAUGCUCCAGCUUUUGCUAAAAACCAUUUAAAACAUAAAUGAACUUGUCCAUUCUAAAAAUUCAGUGGAUGAUAUGAUGUCCUGAAUUUUUCAAUAGCUAGCAGCAUCAGUUACCUGUUAAUUAUCUAGCUCUGCACAUACCAUAAGCCUUCAGAUACGUAUGUGCACCAGAAUACAUAACAAAAUGACCGAGUAUAACACAGAAAAUAGGUAAAUUUUCCAGCAAAUGAAAAGACAAACCCACCUAAAACCUGCUGAGCAGUAAGCCUUUGUGAAGGAUCUGUACAAAGCAUGCCCCUGACUAACUCCUUUGCAGAUUCAGUUAUCUGAUCCCAAGGAUUAGAUGGGAAUCGCAGAUCUGCAGCCCUUACAGCAUCAAAUAUUUGUGACUUAGUCUUGCCCCAAAAGGGUGGUGUCCCACUGAGAAGAAUAUAAAGAAUCACCCCUGCACUCCAAACAUCGGCCGCCUGAUUAUAGCCCCCUGCCAAUACCUCCGGGGCUAUAUAAAAUGGGCUCCCAACAGUCCCACGCAACUUCUGACCUAUUUGAACAUAUCCCAGAUGUUUAAAAGACCAAACAAGUCAAACUUUGGAAAACAUAGCAGUCAACAAAAACAACUACAUGAUGAAUAGAGGGAAAGAAUGAGACAUGGAAGAAUACCAGGGUUUAUGUACGUUGCAAGACCAAAAUCUGCCAGUUUAAUAGGUGAAUAUGAGGCUUUUGUAGCCAAAAGAAUAUUCUCUGGCUUCAAAUCCCUGUGAACCACCCCAAUUUCAUGACAGUGCAGCACCACUUGCAUCAAAUGCCUGAAGAGAACCCUAGCCUCCACCUCAGAGAAUCGUCCAUGCUUUUCUAACUGGUGAAAAAGCUCCCCUCCAGCACAAAGCUCCAUUACCAAAUGAACAUAAUCCUCAUCCUCAUAAACUGCCUUGAGAUCUACGACAUUUGGGUGCCCGGAUAGCCUAGUCAUUAUCUCAAUCUCAAGUCUGACACUUCUAGCAUCAUCUGAGGUCACUAAUCUAUCCUUGGCAAUCGAUUUGCACGCAAAUAGCUCUCCAGUCAAUUUAUCAGUGCACAUUCUAAUAACACCAAAUUGUCCCCAGCCCAGCUGCUCUCCAAGAAUAUACCUAUCCUUCAUAUUUGAAAUCUGAAUUGCGUCCAAAAUGGUUUGAGUUAAGCUUGAAAAUGUGUAACAAUUGCACGGUUGCUUCGACAAGUCGCGGCUGCUGUCUCUAUUUGCAAGUGCAAGUGCAACAGCCAUACCAAAUUCUAUCUGUCCCUAUUGACCUCGUUUCUUUUUCUAACAAAAUAAUAAAAUAUCUACAAUUUCAAGUUAAAAGCCUUGAUUUUUUGCUCACGUAACCAAUCACCAAAAACUUACUUGAGGCCAAAUCCUAAAAGAAGCUUCUCAAGGGCGAUUUUGACAGGAGACAGUAACACCGUGAUACAUCCGAUAUCAUGUAUCUGGAAAUUUUGGUACUAGAGAGGAAAAAUAAAAACUUAACAGCGGCAGAAGCUUGAUAAUUCAGCUCGAAAUUUCUUCCAAUUUCUGCUAGAUCUGAAACCAUAAAAUUAUAAUUUUAUUUUUUUAAAAAAAUUAAACUCGAAUCAAAUUAUGCGAGAUGCAAACAAAACGACAAAAAGUGUCAGAUAUACAUAAUUUCUGUAUAACUUUGUGGGUUUAAUAAAAUCUCCAAGCUAAUAUAUUGAAAAUUCCAGUUUUCUAAAGCAAGCCAACAAUGAAAAUGAAUCACCUUCACAUACCCAUCAGCUAAACUCCCAAAUAUGAAAAGAAUCAAUUACCUGAAAACAAGGCCACCCAGAUCACAAAGUUUUCAAUAAACAAUGGUUAUUGCCAAUUACAAGCGAUCCCAAAUCCCCAAAAUCGAAAACCAACGUGGAAUGAUCUUGUAGAGAGAGAUGACCCGGUAAGCGACAGAGAGGAGGGCGAGAGGAGGAGUCCGUUGGAGCAGCGAUUGAGCUACCCAAGACAGAGGCUCCUUUCCCUGUGGGCUCUCUAUCGCCUAUAGUUCUCUUCAUUGGCAAAACUAUUAGGACUUUUAUUGUGUUUUGCUGCUUGGUCGGGGCUUAUUUUGGCUAUUCCUUUUUUAAUUAAUAAAAAUUGACUGCAAGUGCUGAGAAUGUUUUUUUCUUUUUGGUUGUUCCCCAUCGAAUCACAGUACCAUUUCCUAAAACAAUCUCACUCGAACUGAUUUUCUUUCGCCCUCCUUUGAAUUUGCCAAUAACAACUCUAACUUCUCAAACAGUGAUUUUUCCAUCCAACUAUAAUUUCACUUCCUUUUUUCAUAUUCCCUUUGUCGUUUCUUGUAGCUCAGGUCAGCAAAUUGCAUCUUUGUGUGUUUAUUUGCAAACGUGUAAAACUCCCUAAACCCUAAGUCAAUUCUCUGCAACUCAUUCAAAUUACAAAUACAAUUAAUUUCUUCCUCGAUUCAUAGCCAUUGCAAAUCUCUGUAAAAUUCUUAGAUAUUUACAAUUGGUAGUUAUAAUUAAUUACAAAAUGUUUGAUAACUCAUAACUCUGCAAUCAAGUUACCUAUUACUCUCUCGUAUUUGCUUGCUUUUUUAAAUUUUUUUUAUCCAUCACUUUGCUUUCAAAAUACUCCUUUGAAAAGUUAAAAUUUAGUAAUUCUAAAAAUAAUUUAUUAAUGGAACAAUUUUAGUAGAGAAUAUAUUAAAAAGUGCAUUAUAAAAUUUAGGUAAAAGGAUUUUUAAUCUGAUAAAUUUCAAAAUAGACAUAUAAAUUUUUAAUAAAUUUUUAAAUAGUUAUAUAAAUUCAUAAUAAAUUUUUAAAUAGUCAUAUAAGUUUUUAAUAAUUUUUUUAGUUUAAAAAAGUUCCUUACAGUGUGGAAUUAAAUUAUAUAUAGAUAAUUUAAAGCAAUUAAGAUAUUUUGUUAAUCAUGUGAUGUGAAUUACAUAUGUUUAAUGCCGUAAAUUUAAUAUUAGCUCAUUCUCUUUUUUUUUUUUUCUCUAGUUUUUUUAAAAGUUGUUCGAUCAUCUCUCUCUUUCUUUUUCACUCGAAAAGUUAAGGAUUAUAAGAUUGGUAGAUUCAAUCAUUUAAUUAUAAAAUUAAACUUACAAUAUUGAACUCUUAUUACAAUUUCAAAAGACUAUUAGAGAAAGCAUGAAUCGCCACCUUUUGAUUUUUAGUUUUGGAGGAAAUAUGGACAAAAACCUAUUUAGGGAUCUCUUUAUCUAAGAUUAUUUAAUUUUUAUUUUCUUUAAAUAAUCUCUCUUAUCCAGCUAAUUAACUUAAUUCUUGAUUUUGCCAAAAAAAUCUUGCUACAUCAUUGUUUUUCAUGAUUUUUGCUUAACACACAUCAAGAGUUGUCACUAGAAGAAUUCCAAAUACAAUCUACUCAUAAAUCUCAUCUUACAACUCUAAAACAAGAACGACAAGAAUAGGAAAAUCAGAAUUAGAAUCAUUCUACCAUUGCGACCAGUCCAAAAGAUGAUAUUUAAUGCCACAAUUUUCACUACUUACAAUUUUCAAUAAAUUAUUCUAAUGAUAUCAUGAUAAAUCAAGAAGAUUCUUUCACUUAAAAUACCACAUAACUUAUCCCUUCUUCUUUUACUUCAAUACUCCUGUUUUAAUUCGUCUUAAAGAGAAAAAUCUCAUCUAUAUAAUGAUAGAGUGUAACGGUAUUUAACGAUUUGGUUUAAUCUGACCUUACUGUCUAAUUAGGGACUUUUUGAACAAAAAAAUUUACUAAAAACUUAUAUGACGAUUAUGAAAUUUAUCAGGUGCUCAAAAUGGCAUUUUACCUAAAAUAUAUUACUUUUUAACUAUAGUAAUUAUAUUUUAUGAAUUCAUGCGAAAUUCCACUUCCUAAUCCCCGUGUUCACAGGAUUUACAUUCCCAUUAACACCAUUUAAGUUUGGUGCUCUACUCUAUAAACCUGUCAUCAAAUGCAGACAUAGCUUUCCUAUAUGCUAUGGGACAUAUGGACUGAGUAUACAAGAAAAGCCAUUUUUUUCUUAUUCCAGUUUGGGCCCGAUAGAAAAGAAAUCCAUGCACAGUCAUAUGAAAAGCGAGGCAAAUAAUCUAGAAAUGGGCCUAUAAAAUGCUUCGGCUCACAAUAUUAGGCAUCAAAUUAAUGCCCCAUUCCUAUGCACUCUCUUGGUCUAUGAAUUACCCACAACAACUACUACAUCCAUACUCACCAAUAUUCAUUUAAUAAUUUUCAAAAAUUCUACAUGUUGUACAUGUUUGAGAUUGCUGACUCACAAUACUUAACUUCGCUACUACAAAUUAAUGAAUAAUACUUUUAUUUAUAUUACUCAUUUCAUAUAAAAAAUAAAUCAAAUUAUGAUAAUUUUAUUUUUUUUAAAUAAUUUAUAAAUAUAAAUAUACAAUGGUGUAUACAGUGAUUAUAUGAUAUUGAAUAUCUAAAUCAUAUACUUUGUAUUUAUUGUAUGAAUUUUUUUAAUAAUAGCAUAGAUAGUUCAGAAUCCCACAUUGAAUAUAGAAUGUGUAUGAGCAAAACUCAUAUAGAAUCAAUAAUUUUAUUAAAAUUAUUAUGGUUUUGAAAAUAAUUCAGUUCUAUUUUUGAGUCUAAUUCUUUUGAAGCAUACUCUAGAUUAAUCUUUCGAGAUUUUAUAUUGAUUGUGAAAUAUAUAAUCAUAUAGAAUCAAUGACUUUAUUAAAAUGAUUGAUUUUGACGACGGUCUAAUUUUAUAUUUAAAUUUAAUAUAUGUAUUUUAUAUCGAAUAAAAUAAUAAUAAUAAUUUUAUAUAGGUAUAGUGCUUUUUUUUUUUAUUUCUAAUUCCUAAUAUGAAAUAACCAAAUGUCUUCUUUUUCGCCUUAGCAAGACCCUUCUGACUUGCAAUGUACGAACUAAUAUACUGGAGGAUAUGAGAAAUUAUUAUAAUUAACUAAGGCUGAAAAUGAUAGAAGAAAUAAAAUAGAAUCGGUCAAAAUUUGGUAACUGAUGGAUACUCAAAUCACGCGUCAGAAUGGGCAUGCAAACUACAGUCCAACUUAGUUUUAUUGUGAAAUAAAAAUACAUUUCCUUUUUUUUAUAUUAUAUUAUGAUUAAUAUGCUUUUUAUUUCUUUAUUUUAAAAAUUAAAAAAAUUAAGAAAAAUAGGUAAAUAAAAAAAUUUCUAAGAGAGAGAGAUAAAAGGAGCAUGCGAAUAUGUUGUUUUAGGAGAAAGAGCAUUGAUUCUCAUAGAUUUUAGCUACAGAAAAAAAGAAUGGUGUAUGCACUCACUUCCAAUAAUUCUAGGCAUUAUAGAAAAAAAGAAAUGUGGUGCAAAAUGACUUGGAUAAUAAAAUGACACUUGGUGUAUUCCUAGCAGCCAAUAAAUUAACAAUAAUUGGUGAUGGUUUUGAUUUGAUUCAAUAUGUUGGGUGUCAAUUAUAGUGGAAUGUGGCUUAAGAGAUUAUCAUUAAAUUUAAGAACCAUGGAUGCCCACUCACAAUCAAACCAUCAUUAUUUGUCACUAAUUCUUUACUGAUUUUUAUCUUCUUUACUCAUUAUAGAUUGACAUGACACAGUUUUUUUUGGUUUCCCAGAUAAUACUCGACUUCACAAUUCCUUUAGAAAAAAUUUUAACCUAACAAUUGGCUAUAGUGUCCGACUAAUUCAAAAUUUCAAUCACAUUAAGUUUGGUGGUAUAAUAUAAGAAUAUCUUUAAUGAAAUCAAGUUUAAUUUAUUAUUUUUAGUCUAACUUAAUUUGAUUUAGUAAUAAAAAAUAUAUAAUUCAUUUAAUAGAAUUAAAUUUAAAUCAUCAACCUUCAUCCAUUAUGCUUUGGUGGAUGUGGGGUGAGGGCAGGGGAAGGUUAAGUAGCUCGCAAAAAUAAUUAAGGUUGUUAAUUACGGCCUUCGUAAUUAAUUAAUUACUUGCCAAACUUUUUUUUUAAGGAGUACUUACCGAAGCUUGAUAAUUAAACAAAAGGCAGGUCCAAAAGAUACUUAAUUUAAUUGUUGACUUGGAUUAAGUUUUGUAAUUAAUUAAAUUAAAUUGAUAUGACAUGUGAAUGAGAUAUUAAUGAAUGUAAUGUUUCUUAAAUAUUUAUUUUCGUAUUAAUUAUAACAUUCGUACAAUUUUUAUUUAUCAUUUAAAAUUUUAAUAUAAUGAUUAAAAAAUAUUUAAAUAUUAUAAAUUAUAAUAAAAUAACACUUAAUUUAAUUAUAAAUUACUUUUCAUCUCACUUAAUUAUUCCUAUCUUAAUUUUUUUUUUCAUUUACUUAUCAAUAAAACAGUAAAAUAAAUAAGAGAGAAAAAAAGUAAAUAAUGAUAUAAGUGUUAAGAAAUUGAUUAUAAAUAUUAUUAUUGUAUUUAGUAGAGAUAAAAAUAAAAUUGAAAAAACAAAUUAAUACUCAUUAACUUUUUUUAAAGCAGAAAGAUAAUUUUAAAUAAAUCAAAAGUUAAAAAAAAUUAUUGGUAAAGGUGAAAGAACAUAAUUCCUUUGACACACUUUAGCAUGUUAUCUUAAUUCUUAACUAAUACUCUUAAAAUAUUGCUCACUGGCAGCCUUACUCCUCGGAUCAGUUAAAUUCAAAGCUUUGCAUAUCAACCUUCACACUCUGUUUAUUCAGUUUUUAUAAUUAACCCUCAUCACAUAACUAAGACUUUUUCUUGAAGAUAGAAUAUAUAAUUUCCUUAUUUAUAUAUAUAUAUAUAUAUAUAUAUAUAUAUAUAUAUUGAGAAUUAUUAUUCAUGGAAGAUAUAUGGGAAUGAGAAUUGAAAACUGGAAGCAGUCUUUUAACGCUGGUGGCGGUGAAUGGAAAAUGAUAUGUGGUCUGGGUCCUCCGGGAGGUUUUUUUUUCUUUCUUUGACCAUAUAAUAAAUUUGCAAUUUAAAGAUUUAAUGGUAUAAUUACAGAAGAGAGCGACAUUUAAGAACUAAAAACAUAAAAUACAAAACUCAAUAAGAUAUAAAAAUUAAAAUAAAAUAAAAUCAAAAUAAUAAAAUCGAACCGAUAAUAACACGCAGAGUUAAACUAUAGAAAUUCAAGAAAAAAUUAUAAACAGACAGCCAAAAUGAUUCAAAUUCUAAACAGAAAUCGAGGCAAACAAAUGAAACCCUCGAUCGAGGGUGCGCCUUUUAUCUCCCUCUAUCUUUCUGUCUUCCUUCCUUAUGAGCUUUGAUUUUUAGGAGGUUUACUUAGUACAAGCUUGUAUAUAGUUGCAGGAGUGACUCAGUCAGCUGGUCCAAAUUCCAAGUGCGAGAGGUCCCCUCCGCAAUAGUUUUGGCAUGCUAACAAUGCAUUCAAAAGCAAAAAGUGUUCACUCCUUUUUUGUUUUUUCCGUUUACCCCACCUCCUGAUUUGAAAUUAAUUUGAACAAGUCUAGUUGUAUAGUUAAGCUAAAUAAAUUAAAUCAAUACUAUCAAUGCAGCAAACCUUUUACAUAUAAAUUUAUCAAUAUUUAUUUUUUUAACAUUACAAUAACUAAACAUUAAAAAUAAAAAAAAUAUUUGUUGAAUAAAAUAUUUUUUAUAUAUAAAUUAUUUUAUGUAAAUAAAUUAAAAAAAAUGAUUAAAUUACAGUGAAGUGGAUUGAUUUAAUUUGAUAAGAUAUAGAUAUAAUAAUGUCAUUCAAAAGGAGGAGGAGAAGAAAAUAGGGUAGCUAGUCGCUGGGAGGUGGUGGGUUAGUGGGAGUGGGAGUGGCUGGGUGGUUAAGCUGUGUUGAUGGUUACAGUUUUUCAAAGGUAGUGAGUGGGAAGGCUGCUACUUCUUCACGCAAUUAGCCCACUCUUUGCAUUCACACCUCCCUACCGUAAUCCUUCCUAAUUUUCAUUCUCCAUGCUAACUUCCUAUUUGCCCCCUCACUCUCACUUUUUUUUACCCAAAAUGCCCUUUUCUUAUCAAGUGAUUUGAAUAAUCUUUACUCGUAUAUGUACACCAUCUCCAAAGCAGAAAAAAGCAUAACAGUGGAGCUUGGAAAAUCAUGCACUUGUUUUGGAGGCUUUCUGUAUUGGGGAAGGUUUUUUUUUUGAUAAAUAAUUCAAAAUUUUAUCAUUAAUUAGCUAUUAGAUACCAGGUACUUGCAAUUGCUAAAAAUGUCAAAACAAAAUUCAAAAGAAGAUCCUACAAAACUCAAACAAAUUAAGGCUCAUCUACUUAACCAAUUAGAAUAUUAUAAUCCAAAUGUACACUUAAAAUCGUAUUUCUAUAAUUAUAUUUUUAUUUUUUAAUUGCUAUUAAAGUAAAUUAUACUGCUAGCCUCAUUUAACUGAAAUAACUUAGAUAAAAAAAAAAUUAAAAUUACAAAAAAAUUAAUUACAUCAAGAUCAUCUUCAUAAUAUAAUUAAGAUCAUGACAAAAAGAUGAGAAAGACAAAAAUAGCGAUCAUACUAGACUUUUGAUCCCAUGAUUUCCCAUGUAAUAAAAACAAUAUUAUAUAUUGAUAAAUAAUGAUCAGCUCACCUCUUCCGCAACCAAUAAUAUAAAACCUAAUUCUUAUAAAAAUAAAAUAAAAUAUUAUAUCUGUAGACCAUAAAAAAUAUAAAAAUAAAAAGGCCUUCUUGGUAAUUUGACGACUCUUGUAACAUUUCAACCAUUAAUAGCCAAUUCACACGUCGCCUUGUCGUUGAACCCAACUUCCUCCCGUCUCAAACUUCCAAAUUCAAAGACCUAUUUCUAUCUCAACUAUGACUCUACAAAUACCCAUAUAUAAAUACAUGUAUGUUUAACUCAAAUACGCACUCCACCGAUUUCUAGCUAUUUUCAGGUUUCUAUAUUACCUCUCUGUUCCAUCUCACCCAAAAACCCACCUCUCUUUUCUAUCUCAUAUACAAAGAUAUGGCUUCGAUUUACAGAAAGCAAACCAUCAAGGUCUCAAUAUCCAUAAUCGAUGCAGUGCCGUUGUACUUUGCCAUAUUCAUACUAGGCCUAAUAUUGUUGGCGUCUAUUAGAGAGAGUUCUUCCACGAGUGAGCCUGUUAAAGGGAACCUGCUUCUGGGCCGACCUUGCGAUGAAAUAUACGUCGUUGGAGAAGGGGAGACCCUGCACACCAUCAGCGACAAGUGUGGCGACCCGUUUAUCGUUGAGCAUAACCCGCAUAUACAUGACCCAGAUGAUGUUUUCCCCGGACUUGUGAUCAAGAUCACUCCUUCCAAGCCGAGGAAGUUGUCGAGGUAGUUUACGGAACAGAACUGGAUAUGCUCGGUUCAUGUAUAUAUACAUCGGACACCAAAGAUAAAAACUUUGCCAUGGUUAGUUAGAGUGGACAUGUUCUUCCUUAAGAUGGAUAGGCCGUUUUAAGUUUUCGUCUGGGAUAUAUUUAGGUUACUGUUUGAUCAGAGAAGUUGAGGUCUUUAAUUUUGUUUUGUAAUUACUUUAGUUUCUUGUGGGAUACUUACCUCUACCAGUUUGUAGAGGAAGGAGAAUAAAUAUCCCCUAGAGAAUCUCAACUCUUUUUCAGUUGCUUGAACUUUUCCUUAUUUUGGGGUUUUAGCCAUACAUGUGUUUAUGCUAUAGUUCGUACAUGAUUUUUUGGUCUUUCGUCCAAACAUAAAAAGUCACAAAGUCUCAAAAGAUGCAGAAUUCCUGUUUCAUGAAGCUUGUCUUGUUCCUCAGCAUUAAAGCUUUUGGAAUUAAGUGAAAGUUUAAUUUAUUUUAUAGUUUGCUUCUUAUUCUCUGUUUUGAGCUUAUACAAUGCUUUUCUUAUAACAAAAAAAAAAAAAAAANAGCCAAAUUUCUAUAAUUAAUUUGAUAUGGAUUUUUUUUUUCAUUAUGACAUUGUAGUAUUUAGGAUUCUGAAACAAGAAGGAAAAGUGAGAUAAUUAAUCACAAACAAAAAAUAAUGCAGGCAGUUGCAGUUUAGAAAGAACAGAAACUGUAUAACUUGUCUAGUUCAACUGUUGCAGUGGUGAUGAAAACUAGAGCUUGUUGUAAAUGAUUUGGACUUUCAUGUCUUUGCAUUUACGGUUCUUAAAUGCACCUCCAAUUAAAUAUUAUAUUAGGUUUUCUUCCUUUUAUAAUUGUUUAUUAAAAAAAUUAAGAUAACUAAUUUAAUACUCCAUCCCCUGUAGUCAUUUCAAUAAAUUUUCAACUUUUAAUUUAAUUUUACAAAAAUAAAUUAUUUUAUUUUCCUUCGUUAUAUAGCAAUGCUUGAACUUAAAUAUUUAUUCGUGUUCAAAUUCAAUAAAAUUUCAAUUAUAAUUCUUUCUAGUGGAUGUUCUAAAAAAUUAAUCUAAUUAAGGGUAUUAGUAGGAAAUGUGAUGGUUAGUUAAAAGAAAUUUUAAAUCAGAUAGAGUUGGUUCAGAAAUUGAAUUUCUACGGUGGCCAAGCCAAUCCAUGGGAUGGUGGUGGUGGCCGGACGGCAUAUCCCUUUUCACUUAUCCAAUUAAGCAACGGUGUAGAGUCUCAUCAGAGAAAAGACACUACCACGUAUGUAGGGUCUUCCGUCUUCCUCCCCAUUUGGGAUUAAAGCUUGCAUUCAUUAUACAUCACAACCAUAAUAAGAAAAAUAUAUUAUGACUGCACAAAGAUACCCUCAUUAUUGAGAAAAAUAUUAUUUCCUGCAAUAAUUGUUUUUAGAUUUUUUUAUAAAUAUAAAUAUCCAUUUUGAAUUCAAAUUAAAUUAUAUUUACAUUUAUCAAUUCAAAAAAGUGUUAAAACAUUUAUGUUAGUAGCAGUUUAUAUAUUUUGACUAUUAUUAUUUGUUAAUAUUUUUAAUAUAAAUUAAAUUAUAAAUUUUAAGUGUGGAAGUGAAAAAUCAAUAAAAGCAUGUAUUUUUUAUACUUUAACCAUUUAAUAAAUUUUCUAUUAAAUGAUUUAUUAAUUGCUAAUGCUAAUUAAUACUCCUUUAAUAUAAUACAAUUUAGUAAACUUGAAGUGUGAAUAAUUUAAUUUUAAGUGAAUUAAAAUUAUCACGUGCGUAAAAUUGAUCUAAUUUUUUAAUUAAAGGAGUGAAAUGAUGAUAAACUAAGAUGCAUAUAAAAUGUGAGAAUCAAAAUAAUAAAACACAGAACAUUAAAUUUACUUUUAUUUUUACAUAAUUUAGAAAAAUAUAAUUGAUAAAGAUAAAAGUGAUAACAUUUUUUUAAUAUAAAUUAAUUUAUAUUAUUUCAUUUAAAAAUUAAUAUUUUUUAAAGCCAUCUUAAUAAAAAGACAAUUUCUAAAGGUUGACACAAGGGACAUGAACAUUGGAAUUAAUUAAUGUAAUGGAGGAUAGGUUGCUGUUGACCCGUAUCAUCACAAGAAAUCAAGAAUCGUUAAAUGGUGAAGGGCAGCCUUUCACAUCCAUCCACGUGUUAUACAGUGUCAUAUGAAUAACUAGGUAUGGUAUCAUCUGUAACUCACCUGCCUCAUCAUUUCAAUUGGUCCAUGUUUCUCAAAUCCUAACAACGAAUCUUUAUAGAAUAUGAUAUAAAAUAAAAUAAAUUAUUUAAAUAAUGUUAUAUCUUACUAGAAAAUAUCAUGAAUUUCAAUAUAAAAUAUAAUUUAUUAAAUUUUAACUGAUUGAAGAUAUAAAAUAAUUGAUAAAUCCUGGUGUAGUUAAGAACUUUUCGUAGUCAAGUCAUUGGAGAUUAGUCAUUGUUGAAAUAUGGGCCGGAGAAUAUGGAUCAACAAUAUAAAUGGGUCUUCUCUUACAAUUUCAUUGGUUCACUGUUGUGGCCUGUAGUAAAGAUUUUCAUAUUAGGAUUGCAUUCUAUUUAAAAAAUUAAUUUAAAAUUUUCUAAAUAUAAUUAAGAUUUAAGAUUUAAGAAUGAAGAAGAAGGGUCUGAUUAAUUUAUUAUUAUAGUUGCUUUUUCCAGGCAAAUUUACGUUAUUUUCACACAUCAUGCAUGCGUUUGAAGUUGAAGGAAACUGGAUCUUUAUAUGUAAAUUUAUGUUGUUGAACUAAAAAGAAUAAUAUGCAUCUUUUUCAUGGCAUAGUGGACAUCUUUGCACCCAAAGAAAUCACAGCCACUUAGAUCACGAGCUUCUUUCGAGUAUAUUUAAGGCAACUUUGUAGUUGGAUUUGUAAUAGAUUUAGGAUUUGUAUUAAGGUUGGAGGCAUGGGUUUGCUUUCUUGGAAAUUUAUUAGAAUCCUUCUUUCUGGGAUUUUCUUGUUUCAUGGCUUUUGUCACCCUCUUCCACAGAUAGGUAUGGAUUUGUCUUGAUAUUUGCUUUCUCUCUCUCUCCUCGCUCUCUUACACUUGUUUUUUGUGUCUAUAUAUCUUUUGCAGCUUCAGAAUUACAUUACACAUUUGUUCACGAAGCAACCUCCGCACCAGCAGUGUUGUACUAUGACUACAUCAUCGUCGGUGGUGGAACUUCAGGGUGUCCAUUAGCUGCAACUCUCUCUGAGAAUGCAACUGUUCUAGUCCUUGAAAGAGGAGGCUCCCCCUAUGGCAAUACUAACAUAACCAACAUCGGAAACUUCGUUGCCUCAAUUUCUGACACGUCUCCCAAUUCCCCUUCCCAAUCCUUUAUCUCCGAGGAUGGAGUAUACAACACUCGUGCGCGUGUUCUUGGCGGUGGAAGCUCCCUGAACGCCGGAUUUUAUACUCACGCCAGCGCUGAUUUUGUGAAGGAAUCUGGAUGGAGUGAAAAAUUGGCUAAUGCGUCUUAUGAAUGGAUUGAGAAGAAGGUUGUGUUUGAGCCAACAAUGUUACAAUGGCAAUCAGCAGUGAGGAAUGGGUUGAUAGAAGCAGGAGUAUCUCCUUAUAAUGGUUUUACUUAUGAUCAUGUUUCUGGAACUAAAAUUGGAGGCUCAAUCUUUGAUGCGGAUGGUCACAGGCACACUGCUGCUGAUCUGCUGGAGUAUGCUAAGCCAAGAAAUAUUCUGGUCUACUUGCACGCCACUGUGCUCAAGAUCUUGUUUACAGGAAAAGGUAAAACACAUGCUCACAAUCUUAGCAAAUCUAUAUUCCAAUAACUCCUAAUUGCGAAUACAGGGAGACCAUGGGCAAGACCAAGAGCUUAUGGGGUGACCUUUGAAGAUGAUUCGGGGACAAGGCACACGGCAUUCUUGAAUAGGAACUUAUGGAGCGAGAUAAUCUUGUCGGCUGGAGCAAUAGGAAGCCCACAACUGCUAAUGCUAAGUGGUAUUGGACCUGCUUAUCAUCUUCGAGCCCAUGGCAUUCCUGUUGUGCUCGACCAUCCCAUGGUGGGCCAAGGAAUGGCUGAUAACCCAAUGAAUCUUCUGUUUGUUCCCUCCCCUGUCCCUGUUGAGGUCUCUCUCAUUCAAGUUGUGGGCAUCACUCAAUUUGGUAGCUUCAUCGAAACAGCCAGUGGUUUGACAUUUGCUUACUCUUGGGCUCAAGGAUUCGUUAGGGAUUAUGAAUUGUCCUUAAAUAAGGUAUUUACUCACCCACCAAAAACACUACUGGUGUUUGAAAUUGGUCCUUGGAGAAAUUUUGGCCCACAAACUCAUGCGUCGUUACUAAGUAAUUUAAUUGCGUUUAAUGUGUUUGAUAAUUUUAUUAAACUAACAAAUGGCGUGAUUUAUGACAUAUUUAGACAGGCCAACAAUCCAUACUGACUCCAGAAGCUAUGGCAAGAGCUGUUGAAACCGUGAAUUCCCUUGUGAACGCAACAUUAAAAGGCGGAAUUAUUCUAGAGAAGGUGACGGGUCCACGUUCCACAGGCGAUCUGAAGCUCAGGACCACAAAUCCAAACGACAACCCAUCAGUGAAAUUCAACUACUUCAAAGACCCAGAAGAUUUGAAGAAGUGUGUACAAGGCAUGAAAACCAUUAUCAAUAUAAUAAACACAAAGGCAUUUUCAAAAUUUCGAUACAAACAUGUACCAGUGCAAGCUCUGAUUAGCUUAAUGGCAAACCUACCAGUGAACUUGAGACCACGGCAUUCUACUACAACAAUUUCCUUGGAACAAUUUUGCAUAGACACAGUGAUGACCAUAUGGCAUUAUCACGGAGGUUGCCAAGUUGGGAAGGUUAUUGAUCGAAAGUACAGAGUUCGUGGGGUUGAUGGACUAAGGGUUAUUGAUAGCUCUACUUUUCUUGGCUCGCCUGGGACUAAUCCUCAAGCUACCGUUAUGAUGCUGGGAAGGUAAUCCAUUAAUAUAUCAUCUUUAUACAGAAGAGGCUAAAAGAAAAGACGUGCUCAUAUAAAUUAUUAAUUUUCAGUAUACUUAAUUUAUAAAGUGGUGAUGCAGAUACAUGGGGAGGAUGAUGAUGCGUGAGAGAAUUACUAAGUGGAAGGCUUAUUGAGCAUCAUUGUGAGUCGAUGUUAAGUUGUAUAUAGUAUCGGAAUACAGUGAAUUUAAUUACUUCAAUUUUUGUAGUAAGUUUGCUUUUCUGUUAUUUGGUAGAGAAAGCUGCCAAAAUUUAAUACAUUUCAAUAUAGCAUUGUUCAAGUUAUUUUUACAACUAAAGCCCCUUCAAUUUUAGGCUUCUAUUAUAUUAAAUUAUAAUUAACUUUUAACUUGAAUUUUAUAUAACCUUGAUUUUAUAUGAGAAAUAAUUUAAUAAUAAAAUCUUUAGAUGAAAAAAAAUUAUUUAAAAAUAGUAUAAUUCAUAUUUAGUUUGUUAUGUGACAAGGGGACCUAAACUAAUUUUAUACUAUUUUGAUGCAGUACUUUUUCUCUCUUCAGCUAUUUCCUUCUUUUCUUUAUUAAUUUCAUAAUGUUUUAGUGCUAGACCCUUUCUUUUUCUCCAAAAAGAAAAAAAUUAAAGGAGAUUUACUUUAAAAAAUUUAUUAAUUUAUUUUUAUUUUAAAAUUAUUCAGUGAAAACGUUAAUUUAUUUUGUAAAUUAAAUUAUUUAAUUUUUUUAUCAAAUAAAAUUAUCAAUCAACUUAUUUUAAGGUUAAUAACAUGAAUAAUUAAAAUUAUAAAGAAAAAAUAAUAUAUAUAAUAAAAUUAUAUGAACUAAAUACUAUUAUUAUUUAAAAUAAUUAUUUUUUUUAUAAAAAAAUAAAAUACAUUUUAAUUGAAUAAUUUUAAAAUAAAAAAUAGCUAAUAAAUUUUUAAAAAAUAUAGGAUCUCCCUUCUUUAAAUUAUAUCAACUAGAAUUUAGAAAGCAGGCGGCUCCAUCAGAUGAGGCUAACUGAUAGAUAUGGAUGGGUUUCGUUCGCUUGCAAAUGGAAGCUUUUCAUAUUUCCUUUACUAUAAGGAUGACGAAGCCCAUACAUAAACUUUUAACUAGAAUUCAAUAACGCAAUUUCUUCAAGUAAAUAAAUAAAGAAAAGAAAUUUAAUAACGACAAUGUGAUACAUUUUCUACAAAAUGAAACAGAUUCACACAUUUAUAAAGUGGAUAAUCGUAUUUAAUCGGUUUAAGUAUAACUAAUUUGUAUAUGAAAUAUGACAAAUGUGGAUAUUAUAUAAAUAAAUUCAGAACCGUUAGAAAGGUGUUCAAUUGAAAAACAAUGUGAAUUUAAAUUUGUAGUUUAACAAAAAGUCACAAACUAUCAGAGUUUCAGUUUUAGCUGAUUUGUCUCUCGCAAAUUUGUGAAGCUCAAUGCAACAAUGGAAGAAGCUUUCACAGCAGAAUUCAAAUGUGCAUUAGUACAAAUCUUAGAAGUAUCAUGUUCUACCCCAAUUCCCCCAUCCUCUUGUAAUUUUGUUAAAAAAGCAAAACAAAGCACAUGCAUGGAGCCUUUUGAGGAGUUGUUACCUCUGUUUUUGUGGUUUUUGCUUUUUUUAUUUUAUUUUAUUUUAUUUUUUAUCUAAUUUAUUGCUUGUGCUUUUGGGAGACACAAGUCUCAAUCCUUCUUUGUACAGCUCCGGUGGAGAGUAUAGAUGGCAAUCUUAGCUGGUGGUUCGUUGGAUACCAGAGUGAAUCCAGAAGGUGCGAGUGAGUCACGGAAGAACACAUCACCUCCACCCUUUUCUAAAAUCUUUGAAUUUGUUGCCUACUCCCUAGGCUCGAUCAUCGCUUCCUCUGUGCACAAAUGGUAUUUCUUUGUGGCUAACUGGCUACGGGUGAAAAAUCUUUUCUUCUGAGUUUGAGAGCUUUGCUGGUUUUGUUGUUCUUCAAUCGAUAGUACCAAGGGGUUUGCACAUGCAAUCCUGCGUUUGUUUUCUCCUCCCAUCGUCUUCGGCCAGUCCCCAGCAAGAAGAGCGGCGUGAGAGAGGAAUCCAAUUUCUUGGAUUCGGGUUACUCGGUUACAGUCUAAGGUUUUCUGUUUUUGGGCUUAAUCUUGCAGGGCUGUAUUGAUAUUUUUUAAGCCUGAUGUAAUUUGCUAAACUGGGCUUGUUGGCCUUGUAUGUUUGACUUGCUAAUGAUAUCUUUUACUUUUUGAUAACAAAAAAAAAAAAAAAAAUUACUUUGAUUAUUUUUUCUCUAAUGUAGAGAGAAAAUAAUGAAAUUUCAAAUUAAAAUUAUAUUUAUACCCUUUAAUUUUUUUUAACUUUAUAUAACUUUAUAUACAAAUAAAGGGUAGCUUAAUAAUUUCAAAAAAACAAUAAUAUUUUUUCACUCGUUUUCUCUUUUUAAAAGAAAAAAAUAAAUUUAUUUUCCUUUUCCCUUUUCUAUCAAUCCAAACAUGAUGAAUAAAAAUAAAGAAUAGAAAAUAAAAACUAUUUUACUUUCUCCCUUGUAAACCAUCCAAACUCUCUAAAUCAAUGUUACGCCAUAAUCAACGAUUAUUAGCCAAAUUAAAAUAUUAGAAUUAUUAUUAUGAGAUUCAAGUUUUCAGAAAAUUUAUUAGUAAAAUCAUUCUUAUAUUUUGUGAAACCAAAUCUUUUAAUUUUUUAAUAAAAAUAAUUAUUAAUCAACUUAUUUUAACUUUAGUCAAAGGAAUUAAAUAAUAUGUAUAAUUAAAAUUAUAGAAAUUAAAUACUAUAAAUAUUCAAGAUAAGCUAAUAUUUUUUUAUAUAAAAUGACUAAAAAGUUAAAUUUUAUAAAAUAUAUAGAUAUUUGAGUGAUUUUCAAAUAAUGAUGAACUAUUGAAUUUAAACUCAGGAUUUAAUAGUAGUUUACGCUAUAAUAUCCAAGGAUAGUCCUCGGAUAGAAUUGUUCCUUUGAUAAAUAUUGAGGAUCUGGACUUGGCAUUCCAAGUUUUGUAUAAGAAAAGCACAAAACCACUUUUGAAGAGACUUAGAGCAGGCAAUACAACCAACCUUAGUAAUGAUUACAGGACCACACAUGGCACCCCUAUAAAUAGGCACUCACCAAGCGCUGGAGUGGGGCUUUUUGUUACCUGGAAAUCAAAUGCCUUAAACCGGAAGCAAAUUUGAAGGAAGCUUUCAGGGUCAUUAUCGGUAAGAAUGGGUUUUGUCGUCCGCUUACAUAUGUUGCUUUGAACAUUUGCCGGAUACCCAACUAUUUGAAACAGAGAUUUAGGCAUUAACAAUAGGCAUGACCACCAAAGAAUUUUGUACUUGUUGUCCAUAUAAGGCUAAACCUAUAAAUCCAUAUGAUCAAUGAUGUAAUGCGGGAAAGAACUAAUUCCCUAGAGAAAAAAAAAAGGUGUGUGCAUCUAUAAGCUAUGCUACUUGGAUUCAGUCAAUAGGGUAUGCAAAAUUUCUUAGAUUUUAACGUACCUACAUCCAUUAUCCAAAUAUCCUUCAUCCCAAAACCAAAGUGUUGAAUGACUCUCCAAAAGGGAAAAAAAAAAAAAAAAAAGAAGCUCAAAUGCUUCCAGUUGCCAUUUGCCAAUGUCAAAUUAUUACUUACUUUUCUCCUUGUUUUUUUCCUCCUAAAGGAAAGGUGCAGCCAUUACGGGUGCUCUCUAUAUAGAAUUCGCUUUUGAUGUGUCUAUUUAACUUAAUUUCUAUCAAGCAAAUUAUCAACAGUUUUACCCAUGAAAGAUGCAUUGUGCUAAUUGUUCACUAAAAUAUCAUAUAACAAGGUCAACUGCAUGAAACAUGCUAGACAUAUAAUCAUUUUUAUAGUCUGACCUGUUCAACAUGUCCCUGUGGAGCGUGAGAGGCACCCCGUCCCCAUCCCGUUUACAACCAAGUGAUUACUGCGAAUAGAUUAUAAUACAGAUGCUUCAAAUAAACUUACCACCGCUAGCGGAUUGAAAGAAACAAAGAAACCAGAUAUAGAAUAUCAAAAAUGUUGAGGAGUGCAAAAAAAAAAAAUGCAGUGACCUUACAUAAAAGAAACCUCCCAGUCAUGCCUCAAUUGCCGCUGCCUCAGCCCUCAACUUGGCUUUCCUGAGCCCCAGAAACAAAGGGGCAAGACCAGAAGCACAAUAGCAACAUGUCGCCAGAACUUUGCAGAGACAGCUGCUUCCUCUGUCUUCGCAAACCCCGAGUCUCUCCCAUCUUUGCAAGAAACAUUUGCUGAAUUCUCCAAAGCUUAUCCACAAUAUAAUGAAACCUGUCAAGUUGAUCAAAUUUGAGAACAGGAAUACUAUCAUAUCUCACUCUCCCACCGUACCUUCCUUGAUUAUAUUGGGCAUCGGUCUCUUCUCCUAUUCCCAGCUACAAAAACAUGACUCCAGAAAACAAAUUGUCUCUUCUUCUCCACAUUCACCUCCUCAAAUUUCACAUUUUCUCUUAUUCAGUGUCUCCUACAAGAUGGGAAAUCUGAAGACACAGCUACUUCACGGUGGCCAAGAAUCAGAAUUAGAGUCUGCAGUAAGGAGACGGAUCAUGAGUUUUCUAAAUAUACCUGAAAAUGAUUAUUGUAUGGUUUUCACUGCCAGAAGAACAUCAGCUUUCAAACUUGUAGCAGAAUCUUACCCUUUCCAAUAUAGUCAGAAGCUUCUGACUGUUAUGACUAUGAAAGUGAAGCAGUAGAAACCAUGAUUAACUGUUCUAAGAAAAAAGGAGGCGAAGUCAUGUCAGCCGAGUUCUCAUGGCCUAGGCUCAGGAUUGAUUCAGCAAACUUAAGGAAGAUGGUAAUGAGGAACAGAAAAAAGAACAUGAAGAGAGGACUAUUUGUCUUUCCUCUUCAUUCUAGAGUGACUGGAGCCAGAUAUCCUUAUUUGUGAUUGAGUAUCCUCAGGAGAAUGGCUGCAUAUCUUGAUUGAUGCUUGUGCAUUGGGACCAAAAGGCAUGGACAGCUUUGGCCUCCCUCUCAUUCGCCCAGACUUCCUCAUUUGUUCCUUCUACAAGAUUUUUGGGGAAAACCCAUCUGGAUUUGGAUGCCUCUACUGUUCCCCUCUUGGCAGAAUCAACCAUUACUGGAAUGGUAAGUCUUGUCCCAGCAAAGAAGCUGUUUGGUUCCUGGACAAUUCUUCUGGUACUGAUAAAGAACUUGAAAAGAUGUAUAAAUUUGUUUUAGAAGAUGAAUUAGAUACAUCAAACUCUUUUUCAGGUCCAAUGCCCGUCCCAAAGAUAUAUUUUGGAGAACUGGAACAAGGAGAAACCUCCGAGUCCCAAACCAAAGUAAAAACUGGAAAAAAGAAAGCAUCAGAAACCUCUGAGACUGAAACAGCAAGAACAGCUGCAGAACAGGAAGUACCAGAAACUCCAGCCUCCAAGUCUCAAACCAUAGUAGCAUCUGCAAGACGAAAAGAACCAGAAACUUCAGAAAUUAUUGACUAAGAAAACCUGCUAAAGUAAUCGAACAAGAAACUUCAAAAACCAGUACUGGGACCACAGAGGUCGAAUGCAAGGGAUUGGAUCAAAUUGAUUUAUUGGGACUGACACAGAUCAGUAACAGGGCAAGGUGCCUGAUCAAUAGGCUGGUGAAUGCUUUAAUGAAGCUCAAGCAUCCAAAUAUGGAGGAAAUCCCUGACAUUAGAAUAUAUGGGUCAAAGAUAAAGUUUGAUAGGGGACCUGCAUUGGCAUUCAAUGUGUUUGAUUGGAAAGGAGAAAAAGUUGAGGCUCCUCUCAUACAAAAGGUCGCUGAUCGAAGCAACAUAUCUCUCAGCUGCAGGUUCUUGCACCACAUCUCAUUCUCAUAUAAGUAUGAAGAAGAAAAGGCAACAGUUCUUGAGAGAAGAACAUAUGGAGCAAAAGGAAGAUUAACCAAAAAGAGUAAAGAAAAAGCCAAUAUGGGUAUAGCAGUAGUUAAGAAAGAGGUAGGCCUUAUUGUUCUUUCAUAUGAUAAAUUCAAGACCUUGCAUUAAGUGCACAAUCUUAUGUAUAUCAUUUUUCGUUUCAAUCCCAGUAGCAUACUUUGCACUUGCACUUUAGCAGAAGAAAAACAGUGGAUGAGAAGUGGAAAUCUAGUACACAAUACCAAGAAACAUGAAUAUACUUCCAGGCCAGCUGCUCAAGUAAAACCGUUGGUUGUUUAAUUUCCCUGCAUUAGACCAAAACAUCCAUUAAGCACAAUUUGACAAACAAUGUAUGUUUGACCUUGUUCACAUCUUACCAACAAUGUAUCCUGAAUUGCCAAUGAGUUAUCGAGUAAAACAAAAUAGAAGAGAGGAUGUUAUAUAGAAGAGAGGAUGUAUCCUGAAGGCAACAAAGCCAAAAUUUUGUUAUAUAUUUUAAAUAUACAUAUAUAUACAUAUAAACACUUCGAUGAACACCCAUAUUUAAAAGAAAAAUUACAUGUUCAAAUGAAAUAUAUAUAUUAUUUGCAAGAGAGAAAUUUAAAAAGAAAAAGAAAAAAAGGAUUUGUUGUUGUGCCACGUCUAGCAAAGAGAGAAGAGAUGAUGAGAAAGAGAAGGAAAAAAAGGAGAAGAGGAGAGAAAAAUUAAAAAAAGAAGACAUGCUACUAUGCAAUUACAGCAGGGAGAGAAGCGAGGAGAAAGAAGAAGAAGAAGAAGAAGAAGGGAGAAAGAGAGAAAGGAGGAGAGAAAGGAGGAGAGACAUACCUUGUUAAUGGUAUUUGGAGCAAAAAAAAAAAGUAAGAAAUUUGCAUUUUAGCUGCUGUAGGAGUGUUAUAUGCUGUUUAAAAGAGAUGAAGAGAGACUAGAAUUUCUUUUUUAUUAUUUAAAAGCAUUUUUUUUAUAAAAAGGCUUUCUUUAGAGAGGCGUCGCCUUUGGAACCUCUUGCCUAGCGUCUUUGUGGACUAAGACGUUGCCUUUGUGUAGGCGCCUCGCCUCAGUCAAGUGAGGGGAUGCCACCUCGUCUCGCCUCUCACCUUUUAUCGCCUUUAACAACAUUGCUUGAAAUGACCCGUAAGCUGUCAUCAUCCAAUUCAAUUGUUGUUUCUUCUCAAAUGUUCGAGCAAAAUUCAUUGUUGCAACUAAAUUGGGAGAGUUUUGUAGUUCCACCUCAAGCCGAAUAGUUUCAGACAAUCCUGCAAUAAAAAAGUCAAUUGGUUGAUUGGUUCAACCAAUUGUCGCUCUUGCCGAUAAGGAUUGAAAUUAGCGCUGAUAAUUUUCUACUGAUCCAACUUGCUUCCAAUUCACCAACUCCCCCACGAGAUUGCUACUCAAAGGAGGACCAAAUCACAAGUUGCAGUUCUCCUUGGACACUUGCCAUUUCAUUCCAGGUUCUUCCUGUUUAAGUCAGUAAAACCAAAAUUGAGCCUCACCAGUAAAAUAGAAGGCAGCUAGAUUGGUUUUAUAUGCUUCAAUCAUUUAUUGAUUUUGAAAAAAAUUGUUCACAGCGAUGAAGCCAUCCAAGUGGGUCGUUAGAGCCAUCGAAUGAGGGAAAAUCAAGUUUCAUAUAUCUAGUCAUUCCUUCAACACUAUCAUUAUUUGGUUAGACAAAACUUUAUUGACUGCUCCUCGUUCCAUCUUGGUUUUGGUUUGCUCCUCUAUUGAAGGCGUGAAUGAGCUCUGAAACUUGAUGAGUCAAGUCGUUGAUACCAAGUUGUUAUGGUUCCGGAUCACAGAUCGCGUCAUGGGAUGAUUGAUAGGAAAGAAGCUCAUUAGAGGGAGCUCUUAACACCUCAAGAUUCAAAAGGGAGAGAGUCUCAAUCUCAUAAUUUUUAGAAUAAAUCUGCUUAUUUUAUUGAAUAAAAUAAAAGCCUUUUAUAGUUGUGCUCUAAUACUUCUAAUCAAAGUAGAAAUCUAAUACAAACAACUAUUAGAUCUAGAAUAAGAGAACAAAAAAUAUGAUAAAAUAAGAUAAUGGAAAAUUUGAAAAGAAACUACUAGAUAAAUAAUAUUUAUUUAUUAUGGAUUUAGGCUAUCCAUUAUUCAUAACAGACUGCCUCUCAUAAAUGUCGUCCUACCAUAGAUAAUACCAGGUGUAUUGACAAUAGAGUCAUUUCAUGAUCCUUUUUACUAAGACACUUUAGCAAUACCUCCUUUGAAUACUUCUUUGAAUACUCAAAUACCAGCUAGAAAAACUUAACACCCAUUUACAAUUAGUCUAUCUAGCAUAGACUUCAAAGCUCCAUUCAAACUAAGACACCUCAUUAUGCAUGACACCCUUGAACAUGAUUCAACAAGCUUAGCUUACAAAGAAACCUCAAGUGCAAAGUUAAUCCUGCCUUUGUUCUUUCCUCAUAGAAUUGUUGCCUGAGGUGUAGUGUACAAUAACUUAACAAAGCAUUAUUGAGCCACCCCUGCAAUAUGUCACGGUCCAAAGGUGUUGAGACCAAGGAUCCCCACAAUUCGUGGAAAGAUUGACUUUCGGCAGCCCAAAUGAGAUUCAAUGGGCUAAUUAUGCUGGCUGCAGGCUGAAAAUGCUAAUUGAGGCAGAUUAGCCAGUAGGCAGGUGGAACGGGCCCGUGGGUGCUAGGGGUGACCGGCACAGUUGGAGAAAACAGGCAGGAGAAUGGAAGCCUCCUACGCCAAAAUAGCACUAGGGACAACCUUGUAACACUUUGUAAAGACUUUGUUGAGUUUUCUUGUAUUAUUUGCCUUGUAAAAUUUUACCAAGUGUAAUAUAAAGUCUAUUUCUCCAAUUCUCUUCAUUUCUUGCUAGUUUUCGCUAGUUUAGCUUCCUUCACACCCAUAAAACUAGUUUAAGCCCUUUACAAUCAUUUGUUUGAUUUCCGCUGCAUAUAUUGAGAGUAAGACUUACUUAGUUCGACGGAUUGAGCUAAGUAUCACACAGUUUGAGUGCUUUUUGGGGUUGGACCGUUCAGGCCGUGACAAAUAACAUUAGUAUUUGGUCAAACAAAAGAGGAAAAAAGUGAAAUGGAGGAAAGAAAGUUGUAUUCUUCUAUUCUGACUGACUAAUGUUACUGGAAAACAUAAUGGCAAGACAAAAACAAGUGACAGCACACUGUCUCGACAAAAGAGGGGGAAAAGAUAGACCGGCCAACCAAGGAGAGAAGGGAGAGUGGGGCAAUUACCAAAAAAAUUCUUAGACAAAGAAACAAAAAUUGACCUAUCAUACAAGUAUUGGGAAGUUGUGAUGCUGAUGAACACAUCUUUCUAUUUGAUUAUGCAAAUAAACAGAAAUCUGAGACUACUCUACUAAGAUAAUAGUCUUCAUACUGUCUCUAAAUGGAAUUUAAAAAGUAUGUUAUUUAAGAAGGCAUGAAAUUUAAAGCAUAUAGCAAAAUUUGGGAACGUGAAACCCAAAAAAAAUAAAUUACAUACAUACAUACACACAUGCAUAUAUAUAUAUAUAUAUGAAAUCGAUACUUACAAGAAAUGUGUUUAUGUUGUCAAUAAUAGUCCUGCAGAUGCCCUUCAAGGAAGAUUUGGUUGGUGAGGAACUUCAGCAAUAUCCAAGCCUCCUCAUUUCGAGGAUGGCUAAUAUCCCCAGCAAGAAACUCAUGUGCCUUACCAUCCACCUCUACAAUACUCAUUCCAGGGAACUUUUUAAUUCCUUUCUUAUUCAUCAACCUCCUAACUUUAGUCACAUCAGUCCAUCUUUUGUUAGAAGCAUAUAUAUUAGAGAGGAGCACGUAAACCCCACUAUCUUGAGACUCAAGUUCUAUGAGGUGGUCUAGUAUACGUCGAGAGAUAUCGGAAAUUCCUUUAGCUUUGCAAGCACUAAGAAGAGCUCCCACUAUAAGCACAUCAGGUGGCAUAGGCAUACUUUUCACCAGAUGUAAAGCUUCAUCCAAUAGUCCAGCCCUGCAAAGCAAAUCUAUCAUGCACCCAUAGUGUUCUAACCUUGGAGAAAGAUUAUACUGACAGUUUGUCAUCUGACAAAAGUAUUUACGCCCUUCAUCUACCAAGCCAGAGUGGGAACAAGCUGUCAAAAUGGCAAGAAAUGUCACCUCAUUUGGCGUCAUGCCCAUCCUUACCAUUUCUUCAAAAAGUUUCUGUGCCUCGUAGCCACGUCCAUGCAUUGCCAGCCCAUUUAGCAAAGCAUUCCAUGUAAAUAUAUUCUUACUUGCCAUUCCAUUGAAGGUCUGAACUGCAAUAUCUAUGCAGCCACAUUUUGCAUACAUGUCAACCAUAGCAGUUCCAAUGUGAAUAUCCCAUUUGAUUGCCCUCCGUUCCAUGUACUCAUGUACCCAUCUGCCAUAAUCAAGAACUCCAAUGGCUGCGCAAGCUGAAAGCACACUGGUAAGUAUAAUCCUAUCAGGCUGAACGCCUGAGUUUUGCAUAUCAUAAAACAACUCCAACGAGUCCUUGGAACGUUUAUAUUGGACCAAUCCGCUUAUAAUACUGGUCCAAGAAAUUAUAUCUUUCUGAGGAAGCUCGUCAAAUAUUUGCUUGGCUUCAUUCAAACACUCACACUUAACAUACAUAUCUAUGAGUGCAUUACUGGCCUCCAAACAUCCGUCUAAGGCACGCUUAAAAGUCAACCCAUGAAUUCCCUUCCCAACACUCAGAUUUCUAUUUCUCCCACAAGCAACUAACACGCUAACAAAUGUUGCGACAUUUGGCUCAACUUCCAUCCUCAAAAACAUAGUUACAGCCUCAUCAAAUAACCCUGCCCUCACAUAACCGGAAAUGAUACUGGUCCAAGAGACCACAUCUCUCACGAGCAUCUCGUCAAACACUCUGCCAGCACCAUCACAAUCACCACAAACACCAUGUAAAUGAAGAAGUGAGUUUUGCACAUAGAUAUCGUUCACAAGGCCCAUCUUAGAAACAACCCCGUGAAUCUGUCUUCCCUCUCCGAUCCCCAGAAACUUUGAGCAUGAUUUCAGAACCGCAGGGAAAGUGUAAACAUCGGGUAAAAACCCAUUUCUCACUAUCUGUCUAUAACCCAAAAUUGCUAUUUGUGGCCUACUACUGUUAGCGUAGCAAGAAAUCAAACUAUUAAAAGGGAAUGAGCUUAUGCGCCAAUCAAAUUGUUUCAGAAAACCACAAGCGUAAUGAACAAAAUCACCAGAUUUUCCAAAGAAGUCAACAACUCUGUUGACAACUAAGUCAUUACGAACAAUGCCUGAAGUAACUAAUUGUGCAUGGAUCGUCUUGAAAUAUUUCAAGUUAUUGCAUCUAGAAAUGCACUCCAAAAGAACUGAUUUCGCGAGAUAUGGCCUAAUCUUGCUCAUAUUAGCUGCACUUGCACUAUUCCCAUUUUCAGGAGAAAGCUAUGUCAGUUGUUUGAUAUAUACAUGUAGAUUCGCGAUUGCUAGAAAGGCACAACUCCAUGAUUUCGUGAAACAGAGAGACUUAAACCAGUAAGGGAAGAGAAGCGAUGAAUUAGCAUUAGCAGAUAAUGAGAACAUGCGAGGAAGUGAAGCGUUUUCUCAAGCUUCAUAACCUUGCUAGGGAAAUGUAAGGUCUGAGAAGUGAGGAGACUGAUUUGGUUGGUCCAGUUCGUAUGAAGGGACAGAGGUUAAGUACACCCGCCAGACACCUCCUGAAAGCUCGAGUUUUCCCAAGGGCGUUCUCGCAAAGCGUUGGACUGUGCACACGGCAGUUGUCUUCUUUUUUUUUUUUCAUUAACCUUUUUUUUUAUAUAAUCUUUAAAUAAUAUCCGUAUUUAAAAUUUAUUUAUCCAAAUCAAUAAUAUUAAUUAUUAAAAUUAUAAAAAAUAAAAAAAUAAUCUAAAAUCUCCCAAAUUCAAUUUAAUAGAUCUUUCAAAUUCAAUGUAAUAUAUAUACUAGCAGAUUAUAUCUGCCAAUUCUAAAACGACUUACUACUUAAACAUGUAAAUUUAUAUUUACAAAUAAAUAUAACUAUCGUUGUCUUGGCCCUCGUGAUAUGGCCUAUCGAUAUGCCCUUUAUGACAAUUAUAUCUCUAAAAAUUAAAUUUUCCUUUGAACUCAGCGUCCAAUAUCUAAUGCAAUUCACUUUCAUUGUGGUAAAUUUUUGUAGCAUUUAUAAAUUUAUGAUUAUGAACCAGCAAGAUAUUUUAAAUUUCCCUUAUAAUAUAGAAUUCACUAAAUUUUAAUUUAAAUUAUAUAAACUAUUCUUUUAUCCAUUAUUAAAUAUUUAUCGAUUUAUAUUAUAACAUGUCUUAUAUAGUUUUAAAAUUCAAAUUUCAGACAAAAUCAAUUAUAAAAAAAAUUGAUUUAUAUCGCUAAUAUGGCAUUGAUAAAAAAAAAGAUUUUCUUUAAUAUAACAUUUGAUUAAAAUAAAAACGAAAGUGCAAUUCUCUUUUUCUCCCCAAUUUUGUAAGGAAGUUCAUACAUUCCUAAAUUAUUAUAUUUUAAAGUAAACAUUUGGUCAUUAAAUUACCACCUUAUGGUUAAGAAAAAUUUUAUUGCAUAAAGUGUUAAAAGGAUCAAUACAUUCCUUAAUUUACAUAGAUAUGUUCUAUUUUGUCAAAUUUUGUUUUAUUUUUAAGUUUGUGAUUAAAUAGUAGAUGGUUGUUUAUAAAAAAAUUAAAUAAAUCUUGUUAUUUAAAAAGUAAUAUUUAAUUUAAAAAAAGGGGAUUUUCACAAGCUUUGAAAAUAUGUGAGAUGAAAUUGGAACAAGUUGAAAAUGAAAAGCGAGUUCAAAGUGUAGCAGCUAGCAAGUUUCUCUGCGCCCUUUCAAGCUCAACCACCCCGCAAAGUCCCACAAGACCCACACCAUGACUCCACUGCAGUCCUCGUCCUCGCUUGUACUAAAUGUAAGAUUGAUCCAACACAGAUUGGACGGCUGGAGGUUUGUAGUGACACUGCGGUUGACAGGAGCAAGUCCAUUAAGACCUACAUGAUGCAAAUAUUUCAGGCGCCUCCUUUUUUCCUUGAUACAUUUAUGAGUAUUUUUUUUUUAAUAUAAAAAAAGCUAAAUAUAUAAAUUUACUUUUUAACUUUAUUAAAAAAAAUUUGGUGGCACUUUUUUUUCUUUUAAAUUAUUUUAUUUCACACUUCAAUUUUUUAAAAAUAAAAUUAAAUAAAUCUUACGAUAUUUUUAAUAAAGUGCGCACAUGAUAAAAUGAUCUGACCCGCUGCUUGCUAAAAUUAUCUCCUUUUCUUUUCAUGGUGAUGGUCUGUUAUAGGCUGGCUGCAAAGAAAUUGAAUAGCUACAUUGUACUUUUACGCAAUCUUAGAAGAUGAACAUCUGCAAUGCCUCAACAAUAUCUCAUUGCUUCCUUUGUUUAACAGGGCAGUUGAAGGUAAAAAGCUUCUCUAUGUGAUUGUCAUUACAGCAGCAGAUAGAAGCAAUUGCAUGACUAUGAAGAAAACAUUAUUAGCUCUAAAAUGGUCUUUCCAAAUUAAAAUUAUCCUUAAAAGGGAUAUACAAGUAUGGUACCGGUGAUCAGAACUUGAAAGCUGUGAUCCCAUUCGGAACAAAACAUACAAACAACUUCUAGUUGAAGAACAUCUUUAUUCUACUACAUUUACAAUUACGAAAAUUUGGCAACGGUGAUAAUGUUGUCAAGGUAAUUAUCAGUGUGAAAUCAGUAUACAUCAUUGAUGCAUAAAAAAAUAACUGAAUAACAUUUGGCACAUUGGAAGAUGAAACGCUGCAGGACAAGAGAUUCAGAAGGGAGGCAAAGAAACAGACUUGAAGUAAACAAUCUUACAGAUUUUGCUUCAUUUUGAAGUGGCAGCCACUCUUCAAGCAAAAACCACAUCUGAACGGAACACAUAUUUGACACCUUUGGUAACAUUCCGGGCCUCAUGCAACAUACACUUGUCCCCAUGAAUGUGUAAUAGAGCCAUCCCUUCAGUUGGAGCCACCUACAUAGUUCAAAUUGACAACAGACACAAAUUGGCUAAAUGAAAACCAAAGCUAAUCAACAAGGGGAAGGAGAAUAAUUUGUGAAAUCAAAAAAGGCAUAUACAAUGAGGGAAAAACAUACAAAAGAAGGUAUUUACCUCAGCUACAACACCAUUCCUUGAACCAUAGAAGACAGUUUCUCCUCCAACUAGAGGCUCUAAGGAAGAAUCCUUUGAGUCAUUUGGAUCAUGUUUCGUUCUAGCUUUAGAAUCACCACUUAAAUAUAUUAGCAGUGUAUAAUGUGUACGCUUCCCAUCCCCAAGGUCAACACUUUCAUCAAUGUGCCGCCCAAAACGCUGGCCUGCCUUGUACCUGAAAAGUAGAAAACCCAUUGAACCCCUAAAAGGUAUUUAAUUUCAAAGUACAAGGGACAAAAAGAAUUAGGUCAAUACUAUUUUAAACAAGCAAACGCAGUGCUAGCUAAAAAUUUAAGUGAUAGAGAGAUCUGAGUAUUGAACUCAACUCAGGUAAGCCUAAAUAUGUUCUAUCCAAUUCCAUAUAUACCUAGUCACAAGCCAAGUAUUUUUGCACACACCAGAUUAUUGCUAAAAAAAUUUGAAUAAAAUAGCUAUUUGAGCAUUAUUAAGAACUGAGAAUGUCUGUAAGAAUACUGCAUAUCAGAAAUCAGAGACAAGAAAUCCAACCUAUAGAAUCUGAUAUUUGGAUUCAAGCCAACAGCAACCUUUCCCCGAAUUUUAAUAUCAGAAAACAAUUUGUUAAGUCCAGACUCCCAUACUAUAUUUGCAAGAACAGGAUCAUUUACAGAUAUUCUAUCAUUAUCUCUGUAAGCUUCUCCUUUAGUUGGACCAAGACUCCCUUGGUGAAGAAAUCCAACAGAUUCUGCAGCUUUGAUAAAUGACUUCGAUUCAGCAGAUGUGAGAAAACUCUGCACCUGAAUAUUUUAGAAAAAGGCAAAACUAUUACAGCCAGAAGAAUUUCUUAACCCUAACUACCUAAGAACAUAAUAGACGAGGAGUAAACACUUUGAUCAUUUGCAAGCUCAAAUGAAGGCACAGCCCAGAUAAUUAACUAGGCAGUCAUUUUAAAUGCUGAAACAGCCCUCAACUCAUUCACAAUGAAAAGAAGACAAAGAAGCACUAAGGAAGGUUAAAAUUUAGAAUCAGGUUUAAAUUCCUGAAGACUGCUCAACCUCAGCACCGACAAUUAUCAUAUCUAUAGAGAAACCCCAUCCAUUCUAGUGCAGAAAAAGGAACAAAAAGCUAUGCGUCAGGACAUAUAUACAGAAGGGAAAUUAAAAAGGGAAAACGUACAGUGAAAAGAUCGGUAUCUUUGAGACGAUUAAUCUGAAGAUUUUUCUUGGGUUUGAUAAGAGGCCACUUCUUAGAUGAUGCGUUUUUGCCACUGUCUGUCUCUCUUCUCUCUCCCAUCUUUCUCUUCUUUGUUCCUUCCUCCGCCAUUGGCGCACUCACCUUCCCUUUCUUCAUCUUCUUUUCCAUCCAUGUUUUGGGUUAUGAAUGAGGAUCAGCUGUGAAUCUUGUCUCUUUUGGGCCAAUCCGAUUCCCAAUUACAGGCCCGGCCACCUGUUCGGGCCACAACCAGCGAUUUAAAAGUCUAGUAAAAAAAUUAGCUGAAAUUGAAAAAAAAAAUUGUCAUAAUUUUAGUGGGUUUUAAUCCGUUUGUUUAAUUUCAGUUUUUUUUAAGAGUUUAAUUUAGUUUUAAUUUCUAUUUUUAGUGAUUUCAGCAUAACUCUGAAAAUGAUAUUUUCCAUGUGAUUCCCUAUAAUCCUUCAUUAAAAAAAAAAUAGAAGUUUUAAAAGAUAAUUAUAAACCAAUCAUGUUGAUAGAUUAUAAAAUACAAUUUUUGAAUAUUUUAAAUUUUUUAUUUUGGAAAACCGCACAUUUUUAAUUUAAAUUUUUAUAAAUCUUUCAUAACUCCAUAAAAUUUUAUCCCAAAAAAUGCUUAAAAAGAAAAGCCUAUAGAACUGCUCAAGCCCUGCCCGCCACUUCUAAUCACUAAUCAUUGGACCCGAUUAGCGGGGCGGUUUGUCCAGUAUGGUUGACUCAAUUUUAUAAUAUUACUUUAUUGAGAGAGAGAAAGCGAAAGAAACAAAAAAAGUCGUGGGUUUUGUUUUCGCUGGCGAUUGGAGCCUCAACUUUGGCUUCUCUUUUCGUUCCGCGUUAUCUCAAUUUUGCAGGUUCUGUUUCAAAAGUCGCUGAUGGAAUUUGAUAUGGGAUUUUUUUUAUUUAUAUAUGAAGAUUUUUUUUGUGUUUUUAUUGUUUGGUCUGUAUUUGAUUUUUACGAUAUAUGAUAGUACUGAACGAAUAUUGGUCGAUAAUUUUUAGACAUUAGUGUUUGAUAAAAUACUGUUGAUAAAAACGUCAAAAGCAAAUCGUUUUUCUUCGGAUCGCUCACGAUGGAUUGUUGAAAUUUCUGGUUGAUUAUUUGCAGUGGCUGAUUUUGACAAAUUUUUUAUACGAUUUGUGCAUGCCGAUCUUGAUUGAUCUGUCCUAUCCAUUGGACGAUAGACACUUUUCUAUUUUAAUUUUUUAUAUUUCUAUUUGUUGUUCAUAAAAAAAUAUGCAAGGUAAAUUUAGAAAUUAUAUUUUUUUAAUUAAUAAUUUAAAGAUGAUGGAUUAAUUCUUCUACAAUUAUUUAUUAUUAUAAUUAUUAUUAUUAAUUAAAAAAUUAAAAUUUUUUUAAUUUUAUUACAUUUCUCUUAGUACAUUUUAUUAUAGUCUCUGCAUUUAUUUUUCCAAAUUUUUGUUGAUUUUUUUAAUCGUUGGUUUACGUAUUGACGACUGACCGAUUUGGCGAUGGCUUUAUCUCCAGAUCUUUGGUUGGCCUGCUUUUGUUACCGGUGAGAUGUAUGAUGGGCAAUGUUGGUCGGUUGGGUGGUGUCCAUCAAUUGAUGGACUGGGUAUGAAGACUGUCCAAAUUUUUUGGUUGGAUUUGGGUGGUGCUUUUGAGUUAGAUUUUUGAUCCAUUAUAUUGUGGGCUGGGCUAAAUAUGUAAAUUUACAUUCUGUCUUUGAGUUGUAUUCUGAACUUAUCGGUUGAAUUUUUAAUGCGGUUAUCCAAUCAUAUUUUGAUUCUUCAAAAACACUGUUUUAUUUUUAAAUUAUAAUUUUUUUAACCAUAUAUUUAUAACAUUUAAAUCUCUUUUUAUAGAUAAAGAGGGGAUGGGGUGUGGCUCGAAUCUAGGACCCUGGGAUCAAGUACUAUGCUUCGUUGACCAACCAAGUUAGGCUGCCUGGUAUUUUUAAAUUAUAAUUUUAAUCCUUAUCGCUGACCAAUCUAAUGAUAUAUUUAGAUUGAGAAGUAAAAUAAAAAGAAAAGAAAAGAAAAAUAAUGAUUACAGAUGAAAAUAAACUUUUAUUAGUGUGUUAGAAUAUGCAGAGAAAGAUAUAAAAAAAUAUAUUUUCUAAAUAUUAGAAUUACAUUUUUAACUCUAAAUAUUAAAAAUUAACAUAAUAAAUUUAGAGAUAUAUUUUUAAUUUAAAAAUUUUCUAUCCCAUUUUCUCUCCAAUUUUAGUGAAUUAUAAAAUUUAUUUCUUUCUGAUAUUUUCCCCUCACCCAAAUAAAAAUAAAUGAAAAAUAAAUUUUUUUUCUCCCACUUUUUCGCUUAUAGUGCAAGUGUUUCAAAUCAAGGCACACUGAGAGCCAUACAUUUUUUCAACCUACAAUUUAAAUUGCAUUGUAAGGCUGCUGAGAGCAGCAAGAUUUUAAUAUUAUAACAAGAUAUUUAAUUAUUCGAAAGUAUAAUAAAGCUAAGAAAUUUGAAUAUUUUUUUUUAAGUAUAAACUAGGCAACCACGUCAAGAUAAAUAUUGAUUAUUCAAGAAACAUGACGUAAUAAAAACCUGAUAAAACCUUAAAGAAAUCAGAUUAAUUAAACCCGUUCAGUGCCAUGAUCAGUCUAACUACUCAGAUAUGUGUAGUUUACAAAAAAUUAUUAAAAUUUUAUUUAUUUAAUUAAUCAUUUUUCUUAACUCCAUCAAAAUCGGAAUGUUUUUUUUUCUUAUUUUAAAGGAAUAAAAUAUUUUCUUCAUCCUAAUUAAAUUAUUUCAUAAAAAAUUUACUUUGUAUGAAAUAAGUCUUUUGAAUUAAGCUUGUACUCAUUUGAAUUAAAUAAGUCUUAAUAAUUUCUUUAAGUAAAAUCUAACCAAAUAAAAUUCCCAUUAAAGUAUAAUAUGAAGAAAGCUAUGGCUCAUUUUGUGAUUAACUGAAGCUAAAAAUUAUCUCGAGGUUUAGCUGACUCGCCAUAAAAUGUGAGGCACGUGAGACGGUCUCUUCCCGUUGGUGGAUGUGAUCGUCGACGAUGCGGUGUCGGAUGUCCAUUGGUUAGUUGCGCACAUCAUUGUACGAUGAAAUUGACACCUUUUUAUUACUUUCCACUUUUUUAUAUAUAUAUUUUUAAUUUUUUUGAAAUUUUUUUACACUUAUUUUACCAAAACAGGCUAAACAGUAUGCCUUCUUGUUAAUUAUUCUCUUAUUAAAUGGUCUACUUUUGCAUUUCUAAAAUUUGCGAAUAUAUACGCACUUUUCCGCUUCUCGACGGGAUGAGAUCUUGAUAAUUUAGGGUUUUGUUGUAUGAAAAUAAAUAUCCUGGUGUACGUCAAUCUCUGUAGGGUGUGGUUUUUGUAAGUGAAUCUAGGGUUUUCUCUUUGUCACUUGUUUUUCUUUACUGCUCCAUCUUCUAUGUGUUUAGUUUCCUUCCCAUCUCCUAGGUUGUCAUUGGUUGUUCAAAUCUUUGAUAUAUUUUCUUCUUCUUCUUCUUCUUCUUCUUGUUUUUACUGUAAAGGAAUUUUCCAUAUCUGGGCUGGUGAUUUUCGUAUAUGGUUAGUUCUGCAAGUGUAAACCAUUUCUGGGUUUUCUGGGUGUGUAUAAUUCUUGUCAAAUGUUGAUAGUUUGAGCCUCUUUGGUGGUCUGGUAAAGAACGGGUAGAGCGAAAUUCCUUCAGCGAAAGCGCAGGAUUCUGAGGUUUACGACCUUCUGUGAGAUUUUUGUAUCAAUUUCAACAAGAGAAUUACUUUCACUUGCAAGGUUUUAUUGAAAAUCCUCAAUGGUAACUGGUCGAUUUACAUGAUCAACCAGGACAUGGGGAGAGGAAAGGUUCAGAUGAAGAGGAUUGAAAAUGCUGCAAGCCGUCAAGUGACCUUCUCGAAGCGUAGAAACGGGCUUUUAAAGAAAGCUUAUGAGCUAUCGGUUCUAUGCGAUGCAGAAGUUGCUGUCCUAAUCUUUUCACAGAAAGGAAGGCUCUUUGAGUUCUCAAGCAAUGAGUACGUUUUUAAAGAAUGAAAUGAAUAAUUUUCUGUUUUAAAUUAAAUUAAUUACUGAGGGUCAUUGGACCACUGUAUGGUCACCUGCAAUCGAAAAGCUGCAGGCUGCCGUUUUGAUGGCUUGAAAUUGUUUGAUGCGCUUGCUUUCUAUGUCACUUCAGUCAGUCUUAGAGUCUAAGAAGAGUGAUUACGACCCAUUUCAUUUGUACCGUAGGGAUUUUACAAACAGUAAUUAGAUUUGCUCAUCCAUUGUUGGUGUGCCACUUCUGCGUUUGAUUUACUUGGCUCCCAAAAAUUAGAGAGGAAGUUUUUGAUAUUUAUCAGUGCCUCCUUUCAAGAAAUUUCUUUCUUCCUUCUCUUUCUCUGAUCAUAUUGUUUCUUCUUUCUCCUUUAAGUUUUAUCCAGCUUGAAAUAUCAGCUAGCGGUCCUAGCUAGUCCCUUCAGCUCUGCUCAAAUUCUCCAGUUAAUUAGAACUAUGUCAUUGGAGGUUUCAACAGCUUCUGGAAUCAUAGCUACUGUCAUCUGGUUGGUUUUUCAGUUGUCACACUGGGAACUAGCAACCGCUGUACUAGUGUCUUAGUCAAUGGAUUUUCAUGUUAAAACCGUCGUAUUUUCUUGAAACAGAAUAACCACCAAAAUGGAUCUUGUUCUUUCCAUUUUUUUAUGGUUUUGUUCUUUAUUUAUCUCCUUUAGUUAUGAGUUCCUCUCUCACCAUUGCUGCUUGAUUAUAUAUGUGGUACUCGUUGAAAUUCAUUUCAUAAGAUAGUGAAUUGUCUUUUGUUGGUAAGGCUCUUAUUUCUUUGCUUAUGGUUUUUGUCUGCUAUUUUGGAUUGCCCUCUUUUUCUCCAGUUCUUUGAUAAACUCUUCCUCUUUGGGAAUAAGGCUUCACGCAUUGUGGAUUGUAUGCCAUUUAAAUGGAUACUUUUUUAGUAUUUUCAUGUGUUUGCUUAAAAACACUUGUAAAUAGGCAUAAAUGGCUGAUUUAUGUCUGAGAAAUGCUACAAUAUGUUUGUUAUUUCUGAGUUCUGAGUAGUUGAGAAAUCUGCCAACCAUUUCAUUUAUGAUUUUGAUCUAGUAACGUUGGUACAAAUUGAGGUUAACUAGAUUGAGUAUUUUGUGAUUGGAGAAAACAGUUUAGUUUUAAGGGCAGAAAAUUCAGACUCUGAUCUUGAGCUUGAUUGGGAGGUUUCAUUAACAAGUGGGGAUUUUGUUAGUUUAACGAAGUGAUGAGCCAAGUCUCAUAGACUAGAGAAAGGAAAAUGGGAUAGAAAGACAUUAAGGAGAUAGAAUUUUCUUUCUCUCUCUAUAUAUAUGUAAAGAAUUUUCUGUCACUAGGUUGAUGCACUUUGCCUUGAGAAAUGAGAAGCCACAUAUUUAAUUUCUACAUUUUCGCUUGCUGUGAAGAUGCAGAUACUAAUUAAAAUUAUUCAUGAGCAGGACAUUCAAAAGAGAUGCAUAUUUUUCAGCGUGUUCAUGAUCAAAACGUCUUAAUACUUGGAAGUUUCUUUUGUUUUGCGAUGUGCUAGUGUAUUUCUAUGUGAAGUUAUAUGCUUAUUUUCUUUACAUUUGCUUGGUCGAUAUCCUUUCAGCCCAAAUAAAUUUCAUAUUCUUCCUUUAACAUUUUUCCAUUUAAAUUAACAAUUUUUUUUUUCUUCCCUUUCACAUGUCCCCUCUUCUUUUUACAUUCCACACACUAUAUAUUUUUCCCCUUUAGACCCAUAAUUUUUGUUAUUCAUAGCUCUUAAUUUGAAAAAUUUUCCUUUCUUCAAGAUUUAAUUUAAACUUUUGCAAUUUAUUUCAACAUUUCCUUUUAAUUAACUAAAUUUUAAAUAUUUCUAAAACAUUCAUUUACUUUUAACAAUAAAUUUAGCUUAUAAUUAGAAAAGCUGUGAAACAGUCCGGUUCAAACCGGGUCAAAUAACUGGUUCAAACUGGGUAAAAUAACUUUUUGAAUCAACUUUCUACUUAAUCCAAAAUAGUUAAUCCAAAUCAGUUAUUUUGUAGUUUCGUGCUAAUUAUUAAUACAAUUCAGAAUUGCCAUAAUUUUUUGAUGCGGAACGCGGUACAAGCAAACAGUUCUAAGCAAGUAGCUGAUUCUUACACUCUCACACUAAUUUUGCAAUUUUUCAAUGAGCUGCUAAUUUUGCGACGUCCUCAUUGUAACUGGAUCGGAUGUAAUUGCUAACCAGGACCGGACCCUUAGGUAUUGUGGUUCGCUAGUAUUUCGGGCGGCUCCACCUCGUCUCUUACGGAUAGCCCUUCCUCGCAGGUCCACUAGCUCGGCACAAUUUGUCUGACCCUGCUAAUUUUGCGACGUUCUUAUCGCAACUGAAUCGGAUACAAUUGCUAACUAGGACCAGACCCUUAGGUAUUGUAUUUCGCUAGUACCUCAGGCGGCUCCACCUCGUCUCUCACGGGUAGCCCUUUUUCCUCGCAGGUCCACCAGCUCUGCACAAUUUGUCUGACCCUGCUAAUUUUGCGACGUCCUCAAUUUGUUUGACUUUGCUAAUUUUGUGACAUCCUCAUCGCAACUGAAUCGAAUACAAUUGUUAACCAGGACCGGAUCCUUGGGUAUUGUUGUUCGUUAGUAUCUCGGGCGGCUCCACCUCGUCUCUCACGGGUAGUCCUUUUCUCGCAGGUCCACUAACUCUACACAAUUUAUCUGACUCAGGGUGGCUCUGAUACCAAUUGAAUCAGCCCGACCGUCCAAAUAACUUUUUAGAUCCAUUUUCCACUUUCCAAAAUGAUUAACCCAAGUUAUUUAGUAGUUUCGUGGUAGUUAUUAUAUAAUUUGAAAUUGCCGUAAUUUUUGAACGUGGAAUCACAGUACAAGUAAACAGCUCUAAGCAAGUAGCUAAUUCUUAUAUGCUAGAGUUAUUACUACUUAAUUUAUUUUAACUUUAGAUAUUUAUACAUAAUUAUUAUAUUACUUUAAUUUAAUUGAUUUUCAAUUUUUAAAUUAAAUUCCAAUUAAUUGGAUAUUCCCAAAAUUUAAGACAAAAAAAAAAAGUUUAAUAUAAUCAAAUAAAUAUCUCUAACUGUUAUAGUAAAAAAGUUUAGCAUAUUGUAUUAUUUGCAAAUAAUUUUUGUGAUUUAAAAAGGGAUAAUUAAUAUUUCUUAAAAUAAACUAUAAAUGAUAUAAUCUAUGUUUUUUCCCCUUAACUGUGAAUAAUGGUGUAUGUUAAUAGACAUAUGAAGAUUUGUUUUUGAUAAGUAAAUACUUUUACUUAAUAAGAAGUUUAGGGAAAGGGGAAAAGGAAAACCAAGUGAGGAAUUAGCCAAGGGCAGCAAGCCCUGCCCAUACACCCACCAUCAUAAAACUAUAAAUUCUUCAGAUGAUUGAUUUAAUUCGAACAUUUAAUCUCCCUAAUUAGCAUUAUAUUUUGAGUCAGCCCCUAAAUCGAGUGAUCUUCACGUCUCACCACUUGAAUACAAAAAUAGAAAGUAUAGUUUUGAUACUGAGUCAUAUUACUCAAAUUCGUUGAUUACAUUUCUUAAUUAGUAAAUGAAUUAGGAUUAAUCGUUAUAAUAAAAUUAUUAAAUAUACAUACAAUUUUAAAAUUUCUCCUUCUCCCUAAAACCUAUACUGGCUUUUCCUUUUGAUAUGCAAAGAUUGCAAUACACUUGUGAAAAUCUUUUACUGGCCCUCGCUCCUGCUCAUGAGAAAGGAAAUGUUAGCGUUAGGCUUAAUGUUUGUAAUGAUACAAAAGCUAUUGCACUGUGAGGUUCUCUUCAGUUGUUUUUUUUUUUUUUUUCUUUUUUCCUUAGAAUAGAAAUGAUAUGGUAUUGAUUGCAUCUUCUGGUUGGAUGCUUCAGCAUGCAAAAGACCGUAGAACGGUACCGUAAACAUCCCAAAGCUCAUGUUCAAGCUGACAGCGUCGAUAAAGAACAAUACAUUCAGGUUUGAUCUUUCAUUUCAUGUGGCUUUAUUUUUAUAUCCUUUGUUUAAGAGUUAGUUAUAAUCGAUUAAUUCUUCAUACAAAAAUAAAUAAAUUCAUUUAUUAUUAUAAUGAUGAAUUCCGAGUUAAAUUUAUAUUCUUACUACUUCAAAAUUUUCAUGUAUUUUAAAUGCAACUGUACUGAAACAGUCCAGUCCAAAUUAACGCAAAAUAACUUUUAGAUCCACUUUCUACUAAAUCUAAAAUGGUUAAUUCAAAUUAUUUAAUAAUUUCGUAUUAGUUUGAAAUUUCUAUAUUCCGUCGAUUGGAUAGAAUUUUAAGCAGACAACUGACUUUUACGAUGUAUUUUCAUAAAAUUUAAAGAGGUAGAAUUGCAAAUGGUUUUUUCCACCAUUAAAUAUGUUGAAAAUGUAUAAUGAUGAUCAUUGUGAUAGAAAAAUUUGAAUUUAAUUGAUCAGAUUUUAGUUUAAAUAUUAAACUUAUAAUUUUAGCAAAGUGAAAAAUAUUCAUAAUUAAAUUAAAAUAAAAUUAUGCACAACCAUUUUCUACUUUUACACAUAGUAAAUUUGUGAAGUGUGAAUUAUAUAGCUAUAUGAUCAGUAAAAAAUUUAUACUAUUUAGUCUGUCAAGCGAAUUGAUAUUAUACCAUUUUACAAGGAAUUGAAAUCGUGGUGUUUGACAAAAUAUUUCCCACACUUGGGUGAAAGAUAUUCGGGUGGGACUAAUUCUUGUAUAUAUUUAUUUUGGCUUACUGCAGAAAAUUUUGCUCAAGGAAUGUUGACAAUGUCGGGCAUGCCUUAAAUUUAUAUUUUCAUAUAAGAAACUAUAAUAAAACAUUUUUAUCUAUUAUUAUUGUUUUGUGAUUUUUCAUUUAGUAUAUAAAAGAGAUUUUUAUAAAGAAAAUGAUAUAAAAACACAAAAAAGUUGCCUCAAUUAAAAAGAAUAUUAACUGCUUUAUGCUUACCUAAAACACCAAAACCCUCUUUAAAACAAACACUACAAGAUUCUAAACGUAAGAUAAAGUAACUAAUCAUGAUUUUGAGUUAUUUUCAUGUGAUCCUUGUAAGAAGAUUACUGAAGAGAGGGUAAGAAAACAGUAUCUGUUUUUGUUGGUUAUCAUAUGUACCGAAACUUGAAGGUAAUGUACUUGUCUAGAUCUGGAUCAUUUCUCCUAUUGCUAUGAUUCAUAGAACUCUGAUUUGCUAAGAUUCCCAAUUCUACAUGCAGCAAAUAAUUAGUGAAUCCACGGAGAUGGUGAAUGAGAUUGAGCAGCUCGAAAUUUCACAACGGUGCGUGUUUUUAGUUUGAGAUUGUCCUCUCAGUCUUGGUAAUUAAAAUUUGAAAUUGGUGUGUUUCAGGAAGUUAUUGGGACGAGGUUUAAAUUCUUGUUCUCUGGAAGAACUCCAAGAUAUGCACAAUCUACUAGAGAAAAGCUUAAGCAACAUCAGAGCAAGGAAGGUAUCUAUAAACGUCUUAUUCUGACUUGGUUGAUGCAUGUGACUGAAAGCUAAUACAAAACUUAAAAUGGCUUACGAUAUCAGGAUGAGUUCUUCAAGGAGAAGAUGGAGAAACUACAAGAGAAGGUAAGUAGUACAAUGUUAGAUACUAAAUUAACAAAAGAUUUCUUGAGUUCCUAAUAUUUUAUUUUCUGAUUCCUAUUUCAGAAAAGGGUCUUGUUGGAAGAGAACACAAUUUUACGAGAAAAAGUAAAUACUUAUGCUUGUUUUUAAAAUUUUAGCACAAUUGUGUUGUAGUUGCGGCAAACCCUAACCCUAAAGAGAACUGAUCGAGUUAGGUCAUAUCUUUUUAUUAAUAUUAAUUUGGUGCACCAUGAUAAAUGUAGUGUGGUGAGAAGCCAUGGCCGCAUCCAACUCAACAGAAAGAAGCUGUGAAAAACUUAAGCUCAAGUAGGAAGAAUUCAGAGGUGGAGACUGAAUUGUCCAUUGGUUUUCCAAAACCAAAACUGCACUGAUUAUAGCAUCUUUAGCCAGUUGCUGUAAGUAUUAAAUAGUUACUCGUAAGCUGCACUGAUUAUAGCAUCUAUAAUAUUAUAUUGUAGUGGCAGAAAACGGAUGCAAUAAUUCUAAAUCAUUGCUUUAAUUUAUAGUUACAAAUUAAAUAUAUAAGUCAAUCAUUUAUUAUAUUUUUGUAACAGUGAGAUUUCGAAUUUCAAAUUCACCUAAGUAAAAGCUGCAAUGAUUAUUAUGAGUUAAUUUUCCUUUCCGGGAGUUCCCCCCUCAAUCAUGGAUGGAAGUUAGCAGAAUGUUAAAUGCAAUUUAGAAGAAAAAAAGUCUCUAAUCUUUUUAUUCAAUUUCUUGUGCCCUUUUCCUUGGAAUCCAAAAACAAGAUGGUCAAAGGGGCUAGGGUACUGAAAUGGAGCUUUGUGAAUAAUGGUUAUUUGCAUGAUUUAGGGACAUAGGCAAUGGUCCUCUCUGCCUUACACCUUUCAUAAUAACAAUACCCAUAUGCAUAUGUAAAGACAACACACUGCCUUGCCCUGCACCACAAGCUCCUCUCUUUCCCAUUUUUGUUCAAGCAAAACACAUGUAAUGGACGAGCAGAGAGGUCCAUGCAAGCUAUUCAGUUAAAUAAAAUGUGUACUGAUUAAGCAUAAGUGAUUAUGUUUUUGCAAAAUAUAAAUGAUAAAUGAAAAGGGAGAAUGAAAACAGAGGGAAAACAAAACCGAGAAGAUGCAAAGGAAACAGCAGAACUAAAAGUUGAAGUGUUUAGCAAGAAAGGACGAAAUCUAUUCGCCUUCACAUCUCAUCAUCAAUGUAAUUAACAACCGUAAGUAAACCUCACAUCACUUGCCAGGUGAUAUCAAAUAUCUCCACGUGCAGACCUCAACCCCUCUUUGCUUUCCCAUCAUCAAUCAGAAAAGGCCAUGCCGUUUCAAUGCUACUAACCCCAUCACCAUAAAAAAUCGUAGCUGUUUCAUGUAUUAUCGAGUCCAAUAAAUCCUUCUCUAAUUCCGUUACAAUCCCUUCUACUUCGACGAAAGCCACAUCGUUCUGGAGCUUCAGUAGUGGCAUGUCUUUUUCUACCAAAGCAUCAAUAUCUUCAAGAACGCGACAAUCAGUACAGGGGAAGCUUCUAACUUUAGAACAUAACAAAUCAAUUAAAUGUGAGCCACGCACGUCUUUUUUACCAGCAAUAUUAUUACUAUAUCCACUGCCUGAUGAUGAGGCAGCCCAUGAUUUCAUGUUCAUGCAAGGCUUUAAAAUCUCCACCAACAUUUCAUCCACAAGGUGAAACAGCAACUUUCUGUUACACCUAUGCUUGAGUUGACCAUAUGCGUACUUUUCACUGUUGCUGGAGGCAUGGGAAAUAGUGCUGAAAUUUUCUAGAUAGUAAAAAAUUGAAGGGUCUAAAGGACGGGACGGAGAGAACCACCUAGAAAACGACACUGAAGUAUCCUUUUCUAUGCCAACGUGUCUCAGUAUUCUAGUUACGUACUCCCGUAAUUCUGCUGCUGCUGCUUCAUCUUCGGUGGUGGUGGCAGCUGCUCCGUUAGACCUAUCCUCGUUGUUGCUGCCUCGGGCAUUGAGAGCCUCUUGUUGUUUGUACGAAUGGCUCGAACAACUAGAUAACUGUGACCUACGUUUCGCUUCUUGAGCAUUUGGUGCCUAUAACGGCAUCUCACAAACUUUACUUUUCAAAAAUAAGCAAGGAAUAUUACUGACUCAAGAAUGGUAAAGACAAUAGACUAAAAAUAGAUGUUCAGCUAAAGUAACUUCUAAAAUACAGUUAAAUACCGGUUUUUGAGGAAUCUCCACUGCUUGAGGAGGAUGAUCUUUCUUGACUGGAAGGAGGAGGGUAGGGACAGUAAUGUUGAGCAGGUCAUUUGAUAAUGGGGAUUUCUCGCAUUUCUUUUCAGGAAUGUUUGCUCCGGUUGCCAUUAUUGGACGUACAAGUGGUUCUUCCCGCUUUUUUCGGAUAAUAUCCGAACUUUGCGGAGGUUUCGCGAGUCUAAGAGGUGGACUAAACCUCUCUUCAGCAACUUUCUUGCACUUCUUAAUGGGUCUCUGUUGAUGCUGGUGGUCGUACUCUUGCUCUUGCAACGCUAGCAACUUAGACUUUGUUGGAGCUUUGGUCUUUUGUAGCCUGACAUUGACCCUUGAAUGUGCUGAAGUUGAUGGUUUUAGAGACUGAGAAAUACUAUGGUCCUUGGUGGAUGAUGCUCUAAAGAUUGGCCUGUUCCUGGGUUCCAAGGAUUUGAGUGAGAAAGGAGCUGUUGAGUGCUUGCCUGGACUUGAAUCAGCAGUGACUUUGGUGAGAACCUUGCUCAUUUUCUUGGACUUCAGUUGGCUAACAAGCUCAUCUCUGCUUACUGGCUCUCUGCUUUUGACAGUGUUUGUAAUGUCCAACCCAACUUUCCUGCUAACGCUUUCUUUGGCCUGCUUCACAAUCUGCCUGGCAUAGUGGCCUGGACUUCUAUUCUCGUCUUCAGUUUUGAGUUCUUUACGUUUCAACGAUGAGAUACGAGAGAGAACCUGCUCUUCAUUAGGGCUCAGGUUUUCUUUGUUGAUUUGAAAAGACAAGCGGGGUUCCACAUCUGAUCUUCUAGCUGAUGAUAUUCUCGGAGUCUCCGGCAAAGAAAGCGCUCCUGAAAAAUCACAGUCCAGACUACUUCUGUGGCUACUUUGUUUGCUUUGUAGAAACUGCCGAUGUCGAAAGUGGUGGUGUAAUUGAGACUUCCCUAGAGGAUUUGGAGUCCCACGAGUUGAUGAAGAAAAGGUUGGAGAAUAGCUUUGAUCAGGAACAAGAUCAAGACCCAUGAGUCUAGCAACCAAAUUUGGGCUCCUCAUACUUGGGGAAGAGGCGAUUUCUGAGGAAGAAUCAUUUGUAGCUCCUCGUAGUCUUGAACUUGCAUGUCCAUUUGUUUUAAUUUGAAUACCCAUCUAGAUUUUUUUCAUAAAUAAAAGGGUAAUAAAUAACAACAUUGUCAUCAUCACCAUGAUUACUUACUUUUCACAAACAGGGAUCUUUAUGAAGAACACAAUUUUAAAAUACUGAGGAAAAAAGUAAUAAUAUCAGAGCACUUAAAACUUACUGGGAUGCUUAAACUUUCAUCUGCUUCUACAGUCGUUGCUGAUGAAGGCUCGUCUAGUUCCAAGCCAUUCCUUGAUGCUUCGGCACCUGAAUUAAAAAGGAAAUAAAAAAAGAAACUGUUUCAUAAUUCUCAAGAAGAAAGUUAAACGAGGGAGAGUAGAUAAAAACCUUCGGAGAUGAACUCAGCCUCAGGCUCAGUCUGAGAAAGGAAAGGUUGAUCGGGCUUUAAUGAAGGCUGGUGGUUGUGUGAAGGAAACUGGAACUGAUGGAAAUCAAAUAACUGAAAUACAGAACACAUGCAACCAGAAGUUGUUGCACUUUCUUUAUCUAGUCUUCCUCUUCCUCUCUUAGACGACUUUCCACCACCCCAAUACCAUUCCUUUCCCAUCUCCAGUUGUAAAAGUCUUCUCUUUUUAGCUUUUUAUGGAUAUAGAAAAUAGUCAAGAAAAAGAAAGAAAGGUUGUAAAAAUGUGAAAAUUAGCGACAACCACAACUCGUAAAAGCAGUAGCGAGUGCUCUUGAGUAAGAAAAGCUGAAAUAAUUAUAAAAACUCACUUCGAUCUCUACGAUCGAAGUGAUUUUCUCUUUGCGCACUUCCUGGGUUUAAAACGGAAGUGGGUUUAUCGAGGAUCUGGUUUUGCCAAUGCUUCCCCUUCGACCUCUACGAUCCUCAUUCUUGAAUCUGAGAUAUGACCAAACCUUAAAUAUUUCCAAAAAAUAUUUGGAUUGCCUUUUUCGAAACUCUAAUUAUUAUCUAUGUUAGAGGGUAGAUUCGCUCUAUUUCGACAUCUCUACGAAUAGUUUUAGAUUUUUGAAUAUAAAUAUAUAUAUAUAACCUUUCUAUUUCUGAAUCAGGCCAUGGCCAUUCGGUGUGUGGUUAAUUCUCCAUGGUUCAACAGGAAAACUCUACUAUAUCCGAAAAGAUACAUUUAAUAAACGUUUAUUUCAAAAUACAUCUAAUAAACGUUUCUCUCAAGAAAAAAACUUUUUUGUGCAACGUUUAUUUCAAAAUACAUUUAAUAAACGUUUAUUUCAAAAAAGUUUUUUUCUUUAACAUAAUUGAUAGCCAAUGAAAUUUAAGUUUGAGGCUUUUUUAGUUUCAAAAACGAAAAUAAUAUCAUUAAAUUAAAGCCUAUUAAUAUUUUUUUAAAAAAAAAACUUAAAACAAGUACUAUUUAAAUUCAGAUUUAUAUAAAACUAACUCAUAUGAGUUUCAGCUCAGUGUUGCUUUUUUUAACUUAUUGUAAUAUUAUUUAUUUUAUAAUUUGAAAUAAUAAUACAAAUAGAUUAUUAUUAUUAUUAUUAACGUUCGGGGGACCGCAAUCUAAAAAUCAAGGUGGAGCAUCAUGUGCCAGAAACCUGAACAUUGUAUUUUUUUUUUUUUUUUUCAAAAACAUUGUACAGAGAAAACAAUGUCAUGAUUGCUCUCUCUGGUCUCUACCCGUUAGGGUGUUACGCUCUCUUUAAUUUGUUUUAUAAAAUAUAUUUUAUAAAUAUAUUAUUUUUAUUUUAUCUUUUAUUAUUCAAUAGUAUUAAUAAAAAAUAAAAAGUGUGAAUAAAAUUUAAAUAUAAAAAAUUCAUAUUACUCAAUGAAAUUUUCAAUUUUUAGAAAAUAUUUUUUUCUUAUGAAAAAAAAAUAUAUUUUUCUUAGGAAUUCAAUUACCCGAAAAAUAAUUUCAAAUUUUCAUCUAAUCAAAAAAUAUUUUAAUUUUUUUUGGUAAUGAGAAAAUACCUAAGUGGUUGAAUCCGAUCAAUUGAUAUUUAAGAAUAAAUACAAUUUUAAAAAAUUAAAUCUCUUAAAAGUAUUUUACAUUAUUUUUUUUAGUAAUCCAUACACAAAUAUAUUUAUGUUCAUGCAUAAUUCACGUUGGUGAUAUAUUUUAAUUUCGUGUAUGUAUAAAUAUAAUAAUUUUCAAGAAAAAGGAAACAAAUAUAAAAUCCCACUUUCAGUCAGAUUCAAGCGUUGUCCGGUUGCAGAUUAACACAGUAUCCUCAGUCCUCAACCAAACCCCACAGUUGUAUUGACACCUGACAGGGAGGACCACUUGGCACUUGCUAUUCCUAUUUUUAAUUAAAUUAUUUUUUCCCCUUAAAAUUUAUUUGAUUUCUCACUGUGAUUGCUAUAAGUUUCCUUCAGUCAAGUGUGCCCUAGACGGGAUUAGGGCAGAUUAUGGGGAAGCCAUAAACAGUGUGUGAACAUGCUGCAUAUAUGUAAAGGCAGUAAUAUGAAAAUUGUUUUAAGCAAAAAGCUUAAAAUUAAAAAAAUCAAAUAAUCAAAUAAAAGGGAAUCUAUUGCUUAAAAGGGUGGAAUCUUGAAAUUUAUAGAGACUGAAUUACACUCUUGUCGAUGACUGUUAGUACGGGAAACUGCGUAUUGAGGCUGACCUGGAUAAGGUGAAAAAGUAGUUUAACACAAUGUUCUUCAAUUAGUCCAGUUAAAUUUAUGAGUGUGAAGAGGUGUAUUAUGACCUAAAGUGAUUAACUCUUUAAUCUAACAACUAUAUUUAUUAAUUACUUCUUAAUUUCUUAAAUUUAAUCUAAUAAUUAACCCUUUAAUCUAAUAACUAUAUUUAUUAUCCUUCUAACCUAAAACUCAAUGGUCAAUAGUUACAUUUAUUAUUUUUUUUUAUAUUUGCUAGUAAAAGGUGGACCAUUUUCACCAUAUGGCAUUAUUGCAGAAGAAAUGUACCAUUACUUGUAAAUUAUCACUUCAUUGAUGUAUAGUUUCUUUCAUCAUUAAUUUAUUUACUUUUUGUGUAAUUGACUAUGACUGUUUUUCAAACUUCAAACCAACAUUAAUAUAUUAGUAUGAAAAGCAUAAGAGGAUGAUGAUAAAUCAAUAUCAAUGUCGACAUCACUAGCUACAUGUUCAGAUGUGACCAUGAAUUUGAUUCGCAUACCUAACAUUGCAGUCGAACAACUGUGGAUGUUUUAAUGCAUUUUCAUUCUGCUCUCUUCCUUCCAAGAACUCCUUUAAACAAUAAACAUAUUUGCUUAUAUUAGCAUUUACCAAAUAUGCAAGUCCCAAAAUCCCAAACUAUUAGUAUUCUAAUUAAUUAACAAUUGUUGUAACGAUUGCCACAUUGGUGGGGUACCAAUGCUAGCUGAAACUGAACUUUUUUAACUAAAUGAGCAUCAUAUCUGUGUGAUAGAUUGUCAACUUCCUUUGUGACAACAAGCGAUUAAUAAGUAGGCAGCUUGUUGGCUGUGAUGAUUAAUUUCCUUCUUAAUUGCUGACAUAUGUUUAACUGGAGUUAGCUGCCAACAGGUUUUAAUAGAAAACAGAUGAAAACUAUAUGAUGACUCUGAGUUCUUAAUGACCCACCACUUGUCUGCAUAGUCCCAAUACAAUACUGAGUGCAUUGUUGUCCUUCUAUAGCUUCCAAGUCCAAAAACGUAGAAUGGCAAGUUGUUGCCUCCAUAGAUGAUGAUAGACCCUAGUUAUGAAGGUACGAUGGCAAGUACCCGGCGGCGACCCAAUACUUGUAUUAUUCUGUAUAUGUAAAUGGUCCAGCCUCUAAAUGGGAAAAAUCAGAAAAGGAGCUGCAGGCUAAAACCAAGGAGUCAGGAAAAGGGUCCUACUCUUUUGGACUAGUACAAGCGUAGCUUUGAAACAUAAAGAAUAGGUCUGGGAUUUGGAUAAAUGGCUGAAGAAAUUUGAAAACUCCAUCACUACUGCUCAGACGCCAAGCCAGAACUUAUUUGGUGCAAUUAUAGGUGGAAGGUGUGAGUUUAAUUGCAAAAAUGAAAUCAUAUGCAGGAGAUAGGUGACUGGCUAAUCAGUGUUAUCAAUACACACAAAUUCUCAAUUUGUCUGGUUAGUCGGGCUGAUUAAGAAGAUAGGAAUGCAACCUUCAGAACGCUCAGUUACCCGGCGGAGCACAAUGAAAAUAAUUGUUAAACAUGAAUGCAGGGGAAAAAAGGAUUUAUUAAAUUAAUAAAAAUAUCAUUUCAUACCCCAUCUUAAUUUAACUAGUAAGACCAGCAAAAUACUUUAAUGGGAAUACUGAGGCCCGAGAAAUCCGUAGAUGAAAACACUUCGAGCAUGUUGUUUUUUUUUCAAAAAAAAAAAAAUAGUAACACUUCAAAAUUUAAAGAUAUAUAAUUAUGCAUUUUUAUAAAUAGUAGAGUAAAAUAUUUUUUAAUUAAUAAUAAUGUUAUUAAUUAUUAUUAUUAUCAUAUUUUUUUUUUAAGAAAAAGGAUUGUAUUUGCUUUUUUAUUAAUUUAACAUAUUUUCUAUGAAAUAAUUAAUUUAUAAAAAUAAAUACCACUUUAACUAAAUAUGUAUAAUUUUCUUAAACUUUAAUAUGAUUUUGUAAACAAAGCAAUUUUCCCUUCCUCAGUAAUAAGAGACCCAUCAAUAAACAACAAUUAAUAAAUAAUAUUCUCUUUUUUUUUUUUCAAACACAGCUAAGUUUUGAAAAAAGGAGUAACAUUCAAAAUUUUGAAUUUGAAACAGAUAAAAAGUUUCUCCAAUCUUUCUAUCUCGUCGGUACAAAGAUGCUAAAUUAGGGAAUAAGGAGGGCAUAACACAAGGUCACAGAUUGUGCCAACAGAUGGGCAUGAAUGCAAGGUACCAUCAAACUGAAGCGAACAAAGACACGGCACUACGGUGUAGCGGUGGAACAUUUGCUAGGACGGUUGGGUCACCCAAGUCUCCUGAAAAUUCCUCAAUUUUCAAUUUGCAACUGCCAGUGGAUGGCUUAUGAAAGUAAAAAAAUACAAUGAUAUUUUAUAAGACUCGAACUGUUUAAGCAUGCGAAGUAUCAAUAAUGCAUUAUAUGGACACAUGAUUACAAACGGAUAUGCAAAGAGAUAGCUAGAAAUUAUGAAACCUUGAAAAGGGCAUUCAAACCUGGAUAGCGGUAAACCAAGUGAACAAGGUAAAGGAAGCAUUUGGAAACUGUAUAUUCAGUGUCAAACAACUACAUGAUUACACAAGUACAUUCAAAAGAAACUAAGUUUCAGAACCUGGAAAUCAUUACUCCAUGCCUAGACGGUCAUAAAAUGCCAAUUCUCAAAUUCAACCCAUAACUUUCUGUCUUUUAUUCUUUCUGCAGACUCUCCAUCAGAAAAGUUUGCUACUGAGAAGAAAUAAGAAAAUGUUUGUAACAGAUUAGUUUACCUUCACGAGAAGCAUCCCAUGGAAAAACACCACCCUUAUCCUGCUUCCUGCUUUUAACACCACACAUAUAGACAGUUGAUAGAUUCAUUUUAAGAGAGAUGACUACUGGUCAAUCUUCAAUUACAUUCGUAAGGCCAAAAAGAAAGCAAGGAAAAGGGGUGAGGAGGGGGGUGCCCACAGAUUUCAACUUACAGCUCCGACGCAAUGAUGGGUAAUAUUGAAAAGAAAGAAGGGUAAUUAUAACAUCCUAGAAAAAAAUUUAAGGUAAUCAUAAGGUUCUUGAAACAUUGCUUGAUUGAUGGAGGAUAUUGGUGACAUGAGUCGAUUAGCAAUGUGAACUUCGAAAAAGUGCAACGACACUUUCUAUAUCAAUAACCUAUCAACAACUCAAUAAAUGAAGGGACAAAUGGAAAAAUAUUGCCAACGAAGACUGCAAAUAAUAUACCAACUAGAACAAAAGUAAAACUACUAGUCUUAUUGAUUAGGAAAAGGAACAUAAUUUUUUGAUAUGGUGGUUCUAACUUCUACCAUCUACAUCAAACCCAGCCCCAGUCCAGCCCGGUGUUGCAGAUCCUCUACCCUUGGGCACUGCCCCAACUCCUCUUCCUCUCCCUUGGAAGUGAAUUUUCUUUUUCCCUCUUCCUUCUCCUUCAAGAGUAGGCUGUUGAUUUUGCCCGUUCACAACUUGCACAUUUCCACUAUUUGCUUGAUUAGGUAUUUGAUCAGAGGCUCUAUCACCUGGUGCUGUUGAAAGAGGAACUGAAGCAGCAGCCAGAGCCGUGCUGUUUGAUUUUCCAUCCUAAUAAUAAUGGCAAAGUACAAAUUUCAACAAUCUUUACAGCAUCUGAUCUCUAUGUGUAUAGUUAGUAUGUAUAUCGAAGGAAAAGCUUGAUAAAUAUACAAAAAAUCUUCCCCAAUUAUGAUAGUUAAAUAUAUGGAGACAUGCAGUUCUAUUAGCCUUCUUAAUUACGGAAUACAGUUCUGUUAUACAGUUCUUAAUUACAGAAUACAGUUCUGUGUCAAUAAUAGUUCUCCAUUGCGCGACUACUUAACAUUUUCAAGCUAAAUCUUAAUUCUUAAUUGAGCUUCUGUGUACCCAUGUGUGUGCAAAUGCUUCUGCAGUUAACCAUGCUACCAGUUUGGCACAUCAUAUCUCAGCCAAUCUAUCAUUAUCUUUUGCCCUCUGAAAAGCAUAGAAGCCUUUCAAAGACAAAUAGCCAUUAUCAAAGAAAUUGCGUGUCAGUUGCACCCCCAUUUGGCAUUUAAAAGAAAUUCUUACACUCCUUUACUUAAGCCAUAAUUAGCCUGUUAUACCAACGUCCGUUUAACAAAAUCUUCCUCCGCUCUAGAAAAUUAAUGCACUGAUCUGGUUCACACUAUGAGUUUCAUACUCUUAGACUUGACCAAGAGGCAAGAACUGAGAUCUGUAUGCUACAAUGAUAACUUCAAUAACCAUUUGAGUGGUUUAUCAUUUUUCCUUCCACUGACUCCCAGGAGGGUUGGGUUAAGGUGGAGGAAUAUACUUGCAAUGUGUGAGAAGUGUAUAAUUAGAUACUUAGUUAUAACAUAUUAUUUAAAACUCGUCUUUGUCAUUUAUCUUCUCUUGUUUCGUGUUACAGUUUAUUUUCUCACCUGACCUUCCUCAAACUUACUAAAAACUCAAACAUACACAAAGGAGAAGUUCAAAUGAAUGUUAGCUUACCACACUUUUUUCUUUCUUCCUUUCUUUUUUCCUUUUUUUUUUCUAAUUUGCCCAGAGGGAAAGACAUGCACCAAGUGUGAUUGUGUGCAUGUGUGUCUCAAUUAGUUUAUGAACCUUCCAAGUCCAUCAUGUGGGUAAGUUCAUUAGUGAAAAACAACCAAGAAUACUCCAGUCCCAAAGAUACAAGAGAACAGAUCUCUUAUUCCAUAUGUUGAAUUUGCUACAUCCCAUAAAAGUUGAAGAGGUCAAUGAUUACAUUGCAUUUGCAGAAGAAAUUAAGAUUCAGUGUGUAAGAACAAAACUAAUAGUUGAUUCCCAAUCCAUACAUAUCAUUCUAAUGGUAAACUUCAAUUUCAGUAUCAUAUGCAUUCCUUUACCAAGGAAAUAAAAUAUUAAUGAAAUAAAUAUAAAUUGGAUCCACUUCUAAUAGGAAGGGAAUGGAAGGGAAGCGAAG